CUUUUUUGGAGUUUUUUUUUUANNNNNNNNNNNNNNNNNNNNNNNNNNNNNNNNNNNNNNNNNNNNNNNNNNNNNNNNNNNNNNNNNNNNNNNNNNNNNNNNNNNNNNNNNNNNNNNNNNNNNNNNNNNNNNNNNNNNNNNNNNNNNNNNNNNNNNNNNNNNNNNNNNNNNNNNNNNNNNNNNNNNNNNNNNNNNNNNNNNNNNNNNNNNNNNNNNNNNNNNNNNNNNNNNNNNNNNNNNNNNNNNNNNNNNNNNNNNNNNNNNNNNNNNNNNNNNNNNNNNNNNNNNNNNNNNNNNNNNNNNNNNNNNNNNNNNNNNNNNNNNNNNNNNNNNNNNNNNNNNNNNNNNNNNNNNNNNNNNNNNNNNNNNNNNNNNNNNNNNNNNNNNNNNNNNNNNNNNNNNNNNNNNNNNNNNNNNNNNNNNNNNNNNNNNNNNNNNNNNNNNNNNNNNNNNNNNNNNNNNNNNNNNNNNNNNNNNNNNNNNNNNNNNNNNNNNNNNNNNNNNNNNNNNNNNNNNNNNNNNNNNNNNNNNNNNNNNNNNNNNNNNNNNNNNNNNNNNNNNNNNNNNNNNNNNNNNNNNNNNNNNNNNNNNNNNNNNNNNNNNNNNNNNNNNNNNNNNNNNNNNNNNNNNNNNNNNNNNNNNNNNNNNNNNNNNNNNNNNNNNNNNNNNNNNNNNNNNNNNNNNNNNNNNNNNNNNNNNNNNNNNNNNNNNNNNNNNNNNNNNNNNNNNNNNNNNNNNNNNNNNNNNNNNNNNNNNNNNNNNNNNNNNNNNNNNNNNNNNNNNNNNNNNNNNNNNNNNNNNNNNNNNNNNNNNNNNNNNNNNNNNNNNNNNNNNNNNNNNNNNNNNNNNNNNNNNNNNNNNNNNNNNNNNNNNNNNNNNNNNNNNNNNNNNNNNNNNNNNNNNNNNNNNNNNNNNNNNNNNNNNNNNNNNNNNNNNNNNNNNNNNNNNNNNNNNNNNNNNNNNNNNNNNNNNNNNNNNNNNNNNNNNNNNNNNNNNNNNNNNNNNNNNNNNNNNNNNNNNNNNNNNNNNNNNNNNNNNNNNNNNNNNNNNNNNNNNNNNNNNNNNNNNNNNNNNNNNNNNNNNNNNNNNNNNNNNNNNNNNNNNNNNNNNNNNNNNNNNNNNNNNNNNNNNNNNNNNNNNNNNNNNNNNNNNNNNNNNNNNNNNNNNNNNNNNNNNNNNNNNCAAAAUCUAACCCUAACAAUACAUACAAUACUACAACAUAUGUUUGCCAAACUCCUAAACCAAAGUAUUUCAUGAUUCACUACUUCCACUCAUCUAUCUUCAAAACAAAUCAAUUUUAUCAUAUCUUAAUUUAUAUCACUUAAAACUGUUUAUAAUUACUUGAUUUUUAUUUUUUACGCAUCAAAAUAUUUUUUUACAAGAUUUAUAAAUUAUUUUUAAAAUAAACCGGUACCAGACGACUUACACUUCAGUCGUCCAGACGACUUCCAACAUCUCAGACGACUCAGACGAUUUACUGGGGCUAUAUUCGUAAAAAUGGCUUCUGUUUUUUUGUUUGGUCACAAGGGGCUGAGCUGUAAUUUCACUAGGCUUUUAGGUUAGUUUUGCAUUUGAUUCAAGUUUGGGUAUAGGUUUGGAAUUAAAAUCAAGUUGUGGGUUAGUUUUGGCAAAAACCCCUAGUUUUUUUACCCGAUUAAAAUCUCAUAUGAUGAUAUGACUCUUUGCAGCCCAUUUUUAUACAUUCAUAAUUUACGUGAUUUACUAAAUUUUGCCAAGUUUUAAGUCUAAAUUAAAAAAAAUGCCCCAAAAUAUUGGAUACUGAAAAUUAUUCCAAAAAACACACUUGAUUCAUAUUCAGCUACGUUACUUUAAUUUUGUUAUAUACUAAAGAUGGGAUAGGUUUUUUACCCAAAAGUCACCUAUAGGCGAGUUUACACCAUAUCUCGGUAUUACCAACCGCUGCGUCCGGUCUGGGCGACUAGUCGGGCCUCUGGAUCACCUCUCGGUUAUUCAAAAAAAAAUUGUUAAUUUUGUAACAUUAAUAAGUGGGAUAAGAUGAAACCAUAAUACUUAUAACUUCAAUAUUCUGGUAUGCAAUUUACAAUUUGGAUAGACGCAGGGCAUAAUUUUCAACAUGAGAUUAAUAGAAAUCAAGUAUACAUGAUUGGUAAGUCUACUUCAAACAGAAGAUUGUGGCUGAUUUCUUGGAAACGUUGAAUGUUUGACAUGAGGAAGUAGUUAUUUUUAGUUUAGUGUGAACCAGAAUGUUGCAAGUGUUUGACUCUAUAGAACAUUAAGAUCAGUGAAGUCUAUGCAAAUUUUGCUAUUUACCGGUCUUCUUUCAUACCACUAGGACAUUGGCCAACCAUUCUGGUACCGCACUUCUCUUAUGAAUCCAACAUUUAGUAAAUUUCCCACUUCCUUGUUGAUGAUGACAUCCAAUAAUUAAUAUUAUUAAAAACAAAAAUAUCCUAAUGUUUCUCAUACGAAAAUUUAGAAAUUAUCCAAACUGCGCAAUAUUUUUAUUUGAAUAACCUGAAUUUAAUAAGUUAUCCAGAAAAAAAAAACUGAAUUAUUUGACCUUUUAUCUGAAUUAUUUGAAAAUAUUUGAUAUAUCCAAAAAAUGCAACGGAACCGAGUUGGACCCAAAUUCUUUUCGCUAUUAGCCAGUUUCCGAUAUUAUUAUGUGAAAUAAACAAAAUAAAUUGAAUCGAAUUUUAUUAGUAUCCAACGGUUCUUAUAUCUGUAUAUCUAAAAGAAUAGAAUAAAUAAAUAACAAGUCAAACUAAACCUAAAACCCAAUGCGAAUAGGUAGGUAUUAGGUACAAAUGAAAAGACUAACAUUUUGGUUAAUGAUAACCGUAACAUUCCGGUUUGUGGUAUAUAAAACGGUUUAAGAGAAUUGAUUUGGCUACCUAUGUCACUAAAGUUGACUUACAUUUUCCGUCACACAUCCAUUUAAAACUCCAGAGCUAAGCUUGUUUGGGCUGGAGUAGUGAAAUAAUGGAUGACAUAUCGGAAAGUGAUUUGCGAUACGUGUGAGUGAGGCCAAAGCACGAAAAAAGGUUAGGUGGUGGUUGCAGGAUCAGUAAACAAUAAUUUCAAGCCUUUGAAAAAAUUAACGAACCGAUCGUUGGAAAAGGAUGGAUUCACAGACCGAGAGAAUAGACGUAGGCGGCCCAUUAGCUGUGGGCGGGUCUGGGCGUUACAAUAACAUGCAGUCAUGCAUAGUGUGGUUAUAAAGUUACUUUAUUUGGUUGUCACCUGAUCACUUGAUAGACUUUCCAAUUCACCUUUCUUUAAUGUUUUUGGAUUUAUGAGUACCUUUAUUUCUAAAAUUAUUUGUAGCUGCCUUAUCACAAAUAAUUACACGAACUGAAAACAUCAAUAGAUAAAUUGAAGAUUCAGAGUCGAGCUAUACCGUUGAUUUGGCCUUGUUAUUGCUUAGCAUGACGAGACCAUCAUGCCAUGUUUAUUGAGAACUAUUACUUCAAGUUCAUUUAUUUGUAAUCGUGUUAUAUAAAACAUCAAACACAUACUGAUAUACAUGUGGGAAAUUGAACUAGUAUACCUCAACAAGUGGAUCUUCUGAGUCUAGUCGCUUAAUAAUAUGUUCUUGUGCAAAGACAUAUAACUAGCAGUGUCAAAUAAACAAUUUUUCUUGCGUUAUAAUCAUAUGUGAUCUAUCCUCUCUUUUUUUUUUGUCAACAAUCUAUCAUCUAUUUAAUCCAUAAAACCUAACUAUGGUACACGACUGUUGUAAAUAUUUUGCUUCCUGAGAAAUAUAAGUCUACUAUACUAUGUUGUCAUACGUACAUAUAGUAAGAUAGAGAUUUGAGCUGCUUGUGUGUUGUGUCUAUAGAACAAUCACAGAAUACUAGAAAACUAAACCGAAACGAAACUGAAUCUUUAUACAUUUCUUGCCGUCUAAAAUCUGAAUCAGAUUGUUAAUCUCCUUCGCUUUCUGCUGCGAGCUUUUUCAGUGGAUUCUAUUUGCUUCCAUCUAGAGUUCUUUGUUUCCCGAUUAAGUAUAUGGUAAGUCAGCUUCUCUUUCAGUCGAUAUAAGAUCACUGGUAAAGCCUCUUGGUAGUUUUGUUUCAGCUUCUUGAUCAUACCUCCACGAUCUAACUCUUCGAUGCAAGUGUAGAAUUUUUCUUCAACAUCUUCUAUUCUCAUCUCUUUCCUCAUGACUUUCUCCCAAUGCUCCACUGCACUCGUUAGAUUCUCUAUCAUCAUAUCGUUCUGAUACCUUUCAUCUUCGUAAUCCGCCACAUCUUUUUUGUAGCCAAUUAGUUUCUUAGGUCGUGGUGUUUCAACUUUCACCUGACGAAACGCGUUGUUCAAUACCGUUCCUGAGACGACGGCCAGAGACCGUUCUUCCGCGGGGAUGAGCUCGUAGCUGGGUGUGAUCUCCAGAGUUGCAUCUUCUGUAGGGUUCUCAAGAUCGGCUUCAAGAUUUGAUUCAUCAUGAACAUGAGGAUCUUCUUUCGCGCUCUCGUCGUCGCCUUUAACGUCUUGGGUCUCUCCAUUGGCAUCUUCUUGUUCUUGUUUAAGUUCGUUGGUAGCUUCAAGGAAGCGCUGAUGAAGAAACUCGUCUUUCUCCAGCAAACGUCUAAGCGAUGUAGUCAUUUCGGCCACUCCGAUUCGAUCGAGCGUAAAGUCUUGAACCAAGGAAUCGUAACUUAUCAUUGCCGACGGACUUAAACUCAUCUUGAUGGUCUCACGCAAGUUAUCUAUUGCUUCUGAAUCGUCCUCCAUCUUUCUCUUCUCAAUCUUUGUUUUCUUCGUUGUUUCUUAUUCUUUCCCUCCCCCAUGCAAAGACUAUAUAACCUAUAAUUCCCCGGCCCCUCUUCUUAAUAAUUUUUUUAUUAAAUGAAAAGUUGGAUUUGUCUCGUAAAAUGUGGCAUCUUGUGGCUGAAUACAACUUAUGACAGUUCUGGACAUUUUUGGACAUAUUAUAUGAGAUAAAACUAUAAUAAUAUGCAGAAUGUAGAUAUGUAUAUAGUUUGCAUUAAUUGAAAUAAGAACUGUUCAUGUCACUAUGCUUCACAAUAACAAACGAAAACAAAAGUAUAGAUGUUGUGGAAUUUUACUAGACAAAAUUUUUGAGAAGAUAGUUGAAGAGUAAUGUAUGGUCUCAGAUUACAAGUUACUUUGAUAGUUUUCACAGCUCCAGGGAAUUAAGCUGAAAGUGUAAAUGAAAAGAAAAAAAAGCCGGAUUUACUUGUCAUCGUUGUUGAGCUUUCAAGCUGGAACAGUUAGCAGAUUGUCUAGAAGAAAUACAGGUUUAAGCGAGGUACGUACGUACGAAGUGAUCUUGGUUGAAAACCUUUGACAUGCUUGUGUUAAAAUCUAACUUUUAGAAAUUAAUAAACUUUCUACAUAGAUAUAUUAAAAGUUAAAACAAAACAAAAAAAACGAAACGAAAUUAACCUAAUAUAUAUAGUUUCAUAUACUGAAACAAAAGAGAUUAUUAAAAAAAAAUGUUAUUUUAUCUUGGGACCUUGUGCAGUGGAUAUAUAAAAUCUGAUACAAAAGUGUGUUGUUUCUCCCCUUGACCUUGUGCAGUGGAAUCUCUUUGCUUUGCAGUGUUGUCUUCCAUGACUUGCUUCAAGAGAAACUUUUUUUCUGCUCGAGCAACUGUGAGCUUAUCCAGUUUCUGCUUCAACCGGGGUAAGAUCUUAGGUAAAGCCUUCUUGUAGUCUUGUCUCACACGUUCAAACACAUCAAGAUGACAUAGCUUUUUGAUGCACGCGUAGAACAUUACUCCAAGGUCUUUCACUCUCAUCUCUCCCUUUAUAACUUUCUCCGCUUUCUCCACUGCACUUCUCAGACUUUCCAUCGACACAUCAGCCUUACACAUCUCUUCUUCACAUUUCGCCAUUGCUUUUUCGUACUCAGUUAGGUUUUUAUGUCCGUAAGCAUCAAAUUUCACCAGGGAGACUUUGUUGUUCAGUACCUCGUACUUGACAGGACACUGUUCUUCCUCGGGGAUAAGCUUAUAGUUCGGUGUCUCUCUGUUUAACCGCAUAUACGUUCUACGUUUCUUCAUCAGACUCCUCCCAAUCUGUUCAUCAGAGUGCAAGUUGCUUCCAUUAUUUCUCUCCAAGUUCAUCUUCAAGAGCCCACUGGUAGCGUAUUUCUCAGACUCUCGCUCCUCAGAAACAUCUACUCUAGGGUUUUCAUCUACUUUAACCCUUACUCCAACAUGGGCUCCUCCUGUCUUUAGAUUACCAUGAUGAAUAGGAUACUCUUUUAAGCUGUCAUCUACUGUAGCGCUAACAGCAAAAGCAUGGUGUUCUCGGGUUUCACCGUCUUCAAGUUCGGUAUCAACAUGGUGUUGUUGUUGUGUCUUUGCAUGAUUGUCGAACAAAAGUUGAAUAGAGUUGCGGAACUCGGUAUGUUCGGUUCUGUAGUUAUUAAAAUUUUCAAUCAAGGAACGUAACGUUUCCAUUCCCCGGGGACCAAGUUUCUCAGUGAUUUUCGUACAUAAGUUUUUGAGUGACUCAAGCUUACCCUCACCCAUAGACCCCAUCGCUUCUCAGUCGUCUUCUACCUUUCUCUCUCUCAAGCUAACUUUUUUUGGCUCUAUUUGUGUCGUUGCUACCCGAAGAGAAGCUUGAAAAACUCCCAUAUAUACAGCAAAAUAGUAAAAAGGAAAAUUCCUAGUCAGGAUAGUUUUUGGAAUAGUCUUUCCUUUUCGUAGACGUGUAUCUUCUUUUUUUUUUUUUUUUUUUUGUAACAAGACGUGUAUCUUCAUUUAUCUAUUUUUUCAAUUAAAAAGUACAAAACUGUAUAGAAUAUGCAUAACCUCGUUUGUUUUUUUUUUUGGCAAACCUCGUUUGUUUUAGAAUUGAAAGUCUUAUCUAUCUAUCUAUCUAUACUAUUAUUUGAGAACUGAUUACAAACUUAUAUUAUAAAAGCAUUUCAAAAAUAAAUGGAAAACAUUUUUUUUUAAAAAGAAGAUAAUUUCAUUUAUUUAUUUUGUGUUUAUCUACAUCUUUAUUUCUUAUUUAUUUAUUUUUAUAAUUAGUAUUAUAUAUACACAUAUCAUAAUUAGAUUUAUCAUUAUACUAAAAUAUUAUAAAUAGUUUUAUACAAAAUAAAAAAAUAGAUUUAUAUUUGUUUGUAAACAUAAUAUGUCAUGGCAUAUUUUUAAAAAUUAUUAAACUUAUUUUAGAAUUAAAAUAGUAAAAAUAAAUAUAUAAACAAUAACAAUAAAUUUGAUUUAUAUUUGUUUGUUAACGUGAUUUUUGUGAUAUUUUCAUUUUUAUUCUUAUCAUUCAGUUGCAAGAAUAACUUGUAUUUCUUAUUUAAGUUGAAAUUUUAAUUUUUUUAUUUUAUUUUUACUAAAUAUUUAUUGUUAUCAUCCAGUUGUAAGAAUAACUUUCAAAAAAGAAUAUUUUCAAAAUAUUUUUUUUACAACAAGUACCUUAUGUUUAUGAAAAUUUAAAAUUUACUUUAUUUACUUUUAAUUUUUCAAGAGUUUUAAAGAAUUAUAACUUUAUUUAAAUUACAUUUUCCUUAAAUAUACAUUACAUAUUAAUGUUUUGUUUGUCAAAAUAGUUGGUCUGCUUGAGUGUUAUUUAAUUAUUAUAGGAAGUAUUUUACAAUAUAAGUAUACAUAUAUCAUUAUUCUUAUUUACUUUGACUAAUAUAAUAUGUAAAGCUGAGUUUGUUUUAACAUUCUUGUGCUUUUGAUUUUAUUUUGAGAUUUUGUAAGUUAUGCUAAUUCCUAGAAUUUGGUUUAAUAACAUCACUUUAUAUUAACAAUUAUAUAUUUGUUUAUUUAAUUAUAUUAUUGUUUAUAAAUUAAUGUACUAAAUAUUUGUUCAAGAUAACAACAUAUUUACAAGAUAUUAGUGUUGUUAUUCAAAAAUAAUGUUUUUAAAUCAAUAAAAAUCAAGAAAUUAAGAAAUUGAAAGAUUUAUAAAAUAUUAUAGUUUUUUUUAUCUUUAAACUAAUAAUGUAUUUAUUAUAAAUAUUUAUUAAAAUAAUUAUACCCGCAUGUGCGGGAAAAACUCCUAGUAAUAAAGUAAAACUAAUGACAUUACACACUGAAUAGAAUAGAAUAUGCAUAACCUCGUUUGUUUUCAUUAGAGAUUUUUGUUUUUGAAAAACCCAUUCACUACAAACUCAAACUAACAAAUUUUCUACUUUCUUCACUUCACUUCUCUUUUUCUCUUUCAAUUCCUUUCUCUGUGUCAUAUCUGUGAAAAUAUCAAAAUAGAUUUGAAUAAUUCAAGUUCAGAUGCGAACUCGUUCAUUUUUUUUUGAUGAAAUGUUAAAUUUAUUGAUCAACUUUGAGAAAUUUUAUGUACAUCUAUAAGGCGUUUACUAACUGAACCUUAUUAAAUAAUCAAUAAAUUUGGAAAAUCUAUAAAAAAAAAAAAUUAUAGAUCACUCCUUUCCAAGAGCUCCAAGCCCGUAUGUCACUCGUGGUGGGAAUGAGCUUCAAACCAUCCAUUUUGAAUUAUGAGAAAAAGAGUAACAGUCCAUUUUGCUACUCUUCGAGGUCAACAAUUAUGUCAAAAUCAUAGACCAACUAUAUACACAUUAUUUUUACGUAUUAUUAUUUUUUUAAAACAUUUUUUACAUAUUAAAACAAGUUAAUAAAUAUAUAUUGAAUAAUUAAAGCUAUUAAAUGUUACGUGUAUAAUUAAAUUGACACAAACACAUAAAUUGAUAAAUUUUCAUGUUUACCACAUUGUUGAUACCAUUAUUCAUGUUUACCUUCAUUAAAUAAAUAUUUCCAAAAAUACUUUACUCAUUAAGAGGAAAAAACUCUUAUACACUUGCUCAAUAUAUAUAAUAAUUAAUUAUUAAAAUAAAUGAUUUUUUUAGUUUUCAAAUUAUACCUUUUCAAAUUUAAACUUUUUUAUAAAAUAUUUUUUUUGAAUUUUUUGGAUCUUUUUUUCAAAUUUUAUUUUUGAAAUUCGAAAAUUAUUUUUGAAACUAUUUUUGAAAAAAAAAUAAUUUUUUAAGUAUUUAUUUAUAUAUUUAAUACAAUCCUAAACUUCACAUCUAAAAACUCUACUCCAUUCUUAACUCUAAUUAAAUCUUAAGGCUAUAAUUGUCUUUUUCUCUAUUUAAAAGUAAGAAUAAAAAUGGUUAAUUUAAAGAGACAAUGUGUGGAAUAUCCCCAAUUAAGGUCCAAAUUUGUUGAAUGCCCAUAAUUAUGGAUAACCCAAAAAGAGUAACCUUUUGACACUGUGCGGACGAAAAUGCCCUUAUGCUUUGUCGAAAACAAGUAACUCUAGACAAUUUCCCUAAAUUAAAGAAAUCACUUUUGGUUAUUUACAGUCAUUUCGUGGUAAAUACAUAUAAGCAAUUAUUUUCUCUAUUUUGUAUUGUAUGUAAUUAAAUUUAAAUAAUAUUAACAUACAUAUAUAGUAUAUUUCUUUAAAUAUGACUAUUUAUUAGAUAAAAAUUUCUAAUCAUAUGAUUUUAUGAUCAUUUGUAUUUUUUAAUAAAAAUCUAAACCAUUAAUAAGGAUCCGAUUGAUAAUGGAUGUAGCUUUAAAAUUUUUGCCGUAGAAAAAAAGCUAUAGAUUUUUUAUUGUGGCUUUAGAUUUUAUUGAUGUAGACUUUUAUAGAAAGCACUAAACAAUUGCUUUAGAUAUUUGGCUCUGUAGAGCACUUAUGAUACUUUUAACAGUUUUGGUAAUUUAUAGUUGUUUUUUGAAGAUUGAAAAAACCAUGUAAGGUAUUCUUUUUAAAAGGCCAUGUACAAAAUUUGACGUUUUUAGACAUGAGUGAAUUGAACAAGAAUUGCAAUUGGCAAUAAAUUGAACCAGUAUCGCUCGCUAUAAAUCGAAUUCUCUGGGUCUGAUUGACACAAAAAAUAGUUUCGGGGUUUUAUGUUAAAAGGAGCUAUAACCUAGCACCGAAUUUUAAAAGGUUUUGUUUCUAUCUUAUCCCCUUUCCCAUUUGAAAAUUGAAAAUUGAAAGUUGAAAGUCGCAAUCGUCUUUCUUCUCUCAAGUUUCAACUUCACUUCCUCACUAGCAGCAGAUAGAAGCAGCUUAUUGCCAUGGAAGAUCAUCCCCAUGACGAAUCCUUCCAUCUUCAAGAGAUUCACAGGUUUCUCUCUCUCUCUCUCUCUCUCUUUCUCUCUUGUUGUUGAUUCCUUGAUUUAUUUGUCCGCCAUUCUCAGCCGCGUAAAAGAGCUCGAGCACCGUCACCGUAAUUGCAGAGACGAAUCUGGAGAAUCGAUUCCUUGCGGUUUCGAGGCUUUGGCACAAGAUUAUGCUCUUCAGCUUGAGGUAAUUGCUAAUUUGUGUGAGAACUCUUCACUGUAGAAUAAUGCUAAUUUGUGUUAUGGGAAUUUUGCAUAGACAAAGGUGAAAGAGAUUGUUGAAGAUUAUUGCCAUGUUGAAGAGUCAGGUAUGCCUUUUUUUUUUUUGUUUAAUGAGUAGUAGAUGAAUAUGAUUUUAUAAAGAUGAAUCUUACAGAGGCUUACUUGGAGUAUUUACGAAAGGAGCUUCAUUCCGCUGAGGCUGAAAGUGCCAAGGUUUCUCAAGAAAUUGAGCGUCUUUCCAAAGCUCAUGCGGAAGGUUUGUUAUUAUUACAUUUCGUGUAUGCCAUCCAAGUCCUGUUGUUAUUUUUCUUUAUUAAUAUGAUUUUUUGUUAGACUCUACUAGGCUGGAAUCGGAUCUUGAAGGUCUUCUAUUCUCACUGGAUUUUCUCUCAUCUCAGGUUACUCACUUUACUUUCUUUCCCCUUUGCAUUGUAACUUAUUUACUGAGUUGAAUACAUGAACUUUCCUGGUAAAGUCCCAAGUUUGAGGGUUCUGUGGUUUUCAUUUAGGAUGUGGACAAGUCAAAAGAGAACUUACCGUCCAGCAGCUCAAUGGAAGUAUGUGAUGUGGAUUAUGACGAGAAAUUUAAGGUGCGUGUCUGUGAACAAUCUCAACAAAGUUUCAUCUUUCUGACAUCUGAUCUUCCACUUUUUCCAACUAUUGCUUACUCUGAUUGAUGUGGCAGAAAGUGCAAAACUACUUUUGCAGAAAGUACGUACUGUCCUUGAUAGUUCUAGUUUCCCCUUCCUUGAAUAACUUCGUAGUGGUUAAGGGUUAGCAUCAAAAUGUUAUUCCUGCUUGUCUUCAUGUUGUUUUAUGUUGUGCAGAGAUGAAUUCAUAUUUGUUUCUAGAUUAGACCUCUACCACCUUCUCUGCUUAGUUUCUAUACACCCUUUUCACAUGUUUUUCAGAUGUUUGAACUUGAGAAUCAGAUUGAGGAGAAAAAGGUGAUUCUCAAGUCAUUAGAAGAUCUGGAUUCUGUACGUGAAAGGUAAUGCACUGUGCUUUCAGAUUUACGCCCUUACAAUGACUUUAUUUGGGUUCUUCACCUUUUCUACCUUCAGGUUUGAUGCUACAGAACAGGUUGAGGACGCAUUCACAGGCUUGAGGGUUCUCAAGUUUGAUGAAAACUUCAUUACGCUCCAACUGCGAACAUGUAUUCCAAAACUAGAUGGCUUGCUUGGACAGCACGACCUUGUGCACACUACUGAACCAUCUGAAUUGAUCCAUGAAUUGCUAAUUCAUCUCAAGGAUAAAACUACAGAGAUAACAAAAGUUGAGGUAAGAACACGCCUCCGAGUUUUUACCACCGACGUGUUUUUGUUUGAGUUUUGCAUGAAUAUAAAUGAACUUUUUUGUUACUUCCUAUUUCCUUUCGUGAAUAAUACUAAAAUCUACUUUUCUCCCUCAGAUGCUUCCAAAUGAUGUAUACAUAGGAGACAUCAUUGACGCUGCUGAUUCUCUCAGGUUUGUGCUCUGGCUUCUUUGUGUUGUCCUGAAAUUUGGUUUGCUUAUCAAUCUUGAAUUUUACUGCUACUUAAGUUAUAGAUUAAUAAGGAAUCAUAGACAAGAUGAUAUUUUUCUAUCUAUUCUUGCUAUCAAAACCUUGCACUUGAUAAAUUUGUUGGUUUUCAAAAGGUUACUCAGACUCUGGUUUGAGUGUUUCCAAUUGUAUGAACCUUUUGAGCUAAACUAGUUCAUGUAAUUACAUGGCAAGAAAACCCUGGGAUGACUGUUCUCUAUCAUCUAGGUCUUGUGUUUCAGUAUAGAUAUUUUUUUUGGGACAACAGUGUUUCAGUAUAUAAGCUAUGGCUUUCUAGCCCUUUUGCCGGAUCUGCAGUUUUCUAAAUUUCUGUUAAUACUAACUUUCUUCUGGUAACAUAGCUUCAGUAAGUUGAAUUAAUGUAUAAACAAAAAAGGGUAUCCCUUAAAAGUGCAGGCAGAUAAGAUUACACUCUGCAUUGCUAGACAGAUAAGAUUACACUUGUGUACCAUAAAAUAUCUUAAAACUGCAGGCAGAUAAGAUUACACUCUGCAUUGCUAGACACAAGAUCUUCACUCCAGUGGCUUGUCGCCAAGGUGAAAGAAAGAAUUAUUUCGGCCACUUUAAGAAAAUGUAUGGCGAAAAGUUCGAAAACAAUCAGGUGAGUCUUUCCUUUCCAGUAGCUUGGGACUAGAUGAAUUUUUUUUUUCCGAUAGGAAAUUCAUGUUUUUAAGCAAGCCAAUUCACUGCAUAAUCUUAUGACAGGCACACGUUCGAAUACUACGACAAAGAUGAAACAAUUGUGGCUCAUACAGCCGGAGGUAUCGAUGCAUUUUUAAAAGUCUCUGAUGGUUGGCCGCUGCUGAAUUCUCCACUAAAGCUCGCAUCUCUCAAGAACUCUGAGAAUCAUUCAAAUGGAAUCUCGCUGAGCCUAAUCUGCAAAGUAGAAGUAAGACCCUUCAAUACUUCUCGAUUUUAAUAAUUUCACCAUAGGAAAAGCUCUGCUUGCUAAAAAAUAAUGAUUGGAUGUUAGUUUCUGGUUUUAAUCAGCUUAACGAUUUUAUAACUUAAUCUAAUAUAUGUCAGGAACUAGCGAAUUCACUGGAUUUACAGACCCGGCAAAACUUAUCAAGCUUCAUGGAUGCUGUUGAGAAGAUACUUAUGCAGCAAAGUCGUGAGGAACUCAAUUCCAGUGAACCUUCCCAAAAGUGAGUUACCAAGAAAACGUCCUUAACUCCAUAACCUAACAUGUUUUGAGAAGUUUGUUGCGUGUUUGCUAUCUGCAACCCUUUUGUCGUAAUACUUUUGAAAUAACUUCUGCCAGGGUCGAAUCAUAUCUAAUGAUGAAGCUUGUUUUGCUUUAUGCUUAUGAAAAGAGCAAAUGUGAUAACAGAUUUGACAUGAAAGAGCCAAACUUUUAUUGUCCUAUAACUUCUUCUGGUCCUACCCAUUAGCCUUAUUGUCCUCAAGUUGCCUUCAAAUGUCCACAUCUUUACCCACUAUACUUAUGUCAUAAUGUAUGUAUAUGUACCAUUAUAAUUCAUAUUUUACAUUAUCUUCAUACACGCAUCUCCGCUGUUCCCACACCCACUUGUGCAUAUAACUAAAGAAAGAAAUAAUCUCCACUUUCUUUUUCCUAUAUAUUUAACUGCUGCAAGACUACUGGUUGAAAGCCAAGAAGCUCAGAGGUUCCUCUGCUCACACUCAUGGAGGAACCCAUCAUAGAGAGCUUCUUCUUCCCUCCAACUAACCUUCCUCCUGAAAUGAUGGAAGAGAUUCUCUUAAGACUACCCGUGAAGUCACUGAAGCGAUUCAAAUGCGUUUGCACCUCAUGGAGGUCUUUGAUCUCAGACACUCUGUUUACUCUGAAACACGCUUUGAUGUUGGAGGCGUCCAAGGCAACCACUUACAAGAAGAGUCCAUACGGAGUCAUCACAACGUCUCGGUACCAUCUCAAAUCUUGCUGCGUCCACUCUCUGUAUAAUGAGCCAAUGGCCAACGUCUUUGAGCAUGAUGGUGAGCUUUUAGGCAGAGAUUACUACCAAGUCGUGGGGACCUGCAAUGGGUUGGUCUGUUUCCAUGUAGAUUACAACAAAAGCUUCUACUUGUGGAACCCCACCAUCAAGGUUCAACAAAGAUUGCGUGGUUCGGAUCUUGAAACGGGAGAUGAGGUUGUUGUAAACUAUGGAUUUGGUUAUGAUGAAUCUGAAGAUGACUAUAAGAUAGUUGCAUUGUUGCAGCAAAGACAACAACUGAAGACAGAGGCAAUGAUCUACUCAACGAGGCAGAAGCUAUGGAGAAGAAGAAGCAGCAGCAACACUUGUUUUCCAUCUGGAGUUGUUCUUGCUAACAAAUCAAGAUCCGGCAUCUACAUCAAUGGAACACUAAACUGGGCAGCCACUCACUCCUCAUCAUCAGUUUCUACCAUCAUAUCAUACGAUAUGUCCCGAGAUGUGUUCAAGGAGCUUCUUGGACCAGGCUGUUGCAAGAGAGGAUGUUUUACAAUGACACUUGGAGAUUUGAGAGGAUGUCUUUCGAUGGUGUGUUAUUGCAAAGGAGCAAAAGCAGAUGUUUGGGUGAUGAAGGAGUUUGGAGAAAGAGAAUCUUGGUCUAAACUAUUGAGCAUUCCCGGUUUGACUGAGUUUGUUAGACCGCUUUGGAUCUCAAGAGAUUUCGUGGUUUUGUUGGAGUUUAGAUCCGGUUUAGCUCUAUACAACUGUGCCAAUGGGAAGUUCCAGUACCCAGUUCAAGACAGCUUGAGCGGUUGUCGGGACGCUAAAGUCUAUGUCAAGACAUUGGUUUCUCCAAGGGACCUUUAAGAUUGGCUCUAUACACAUUGUUUUCACUUUGGAUUUGGUUCAGUUUAUCUGCGCACCAUUGUUAUACAUCUACUUAAAAGGUAUUUUUUGUUCGUUCUUUAAUCGUAAAGUUACAUUUUUCAUGUGGGAAACAAUAUAAAAAAAAGCAAUCAGUCAAAUAUUCCCUAACAAAAUCAUCACCAUACCAACACACACAUCCUUUUGCUCUGUGUCUACGUACAUGGAAGAAUCUGGACCGUUAGAUCAAACAGUUGGAUGAUAAAAAAAUUCUCAGGAGGCUAUUUUAUCUGAGGUGGAGCUCCGACCAGAUCCUGGACUGGUGAAGACAGGAUUGUCUCUAGGCGUAGAGGAAGCUCCACGACCACUUGCACUGUUUCCCAUAUCUUUAGUCUUAUGAAGCAGAAACGUUCCUGACAAAAUAGUCACAAAACCGCACAGUUGUGUAGCGAUCUUUAACCCGCUCUGCGAAGCCCAGUCCUAUAAAUUACAUAGAGGAGAGGUUAAGAACAUGUUGUGUGAUGUUAGAUGGAGUUUAACUUGGGAGGGAAGAAAAGGAUUUGACCUUGAACAUGAUCAUACUAGCUAUAAUGGUGAAAGUUUAAUUUGUGUGAGAACUCUUCACUGUAGAAUAAUGCUAAUUUGUGUUAUGGGAAUUUUGCAUAGACAAAGGUGAAAGAGAUUGUUGAAGAUUAUUGCCAUGUUGAAGAGUCAGGUAUGCCUUUUUUUUUUUUGUUUAAUGAGUAGUAGAUGAAUAUGAUUUUAUAAAGAUGAAUCUUACAGAGGCUUACUUGGAGUAUUUACGAAAGGAGCUUCAUUCCGCUGAGGCUGAAAGUGCCAAGGUUUCUCAAGAAAUUGAGCGUCUUUCCAAAGCUCAUGCGGAAGGUUUGUUAUUAUUACAUUUCGUGUAUGCCAUCCAAGUCCUGUUGUUAUUUUUCUUUAUUAAUAUGAUUUUUUGUUAGACUCUACUAGGCUGGAAUCGGAUCUUGAAGGUCUUCUAUUCUCACUGGAUUUUCUCUCAUCUCAGGUUACUCACUUUACUUUCUUUCCCCUUUGCAUUGUAACUUAUUUACUGAGUUGAAUACAUGAACUUUCCUGGUAAAGUCCCAAGUUUGAGGGUUCUGUGGUUUUCAUUUAGGAUGUGGACAAGUCAAAAGAGAACUUACCGUCCAGCAGCUCAAUGGAAGUAUGUGAUGUGGAUUAUGACGAGAAAUUUAAGGUGCGUGUCUGUGAACAAUCUCAACAAAGUUUCAUCUUUCUGACAUCUGAUCUUCCACUUUUUCCAACUAUUGCUUACUCUGAUUGAUGUGGCAGAAAGUGCAAAACUACUUUUGCAGAAAGUACGUACUGUCCUUGAUAGUUCUAGUUUCCCCUUCCUUGAAUAACUUCGUAGUGGUUAAGGGUUAGCAUCAAAAUGUUAUUCCUGCUUGUCUUCAUGUUGUUUUAUGUUGUGCAGAGAUGAAUUCAUAUUUGUUUCUAGAUUAGACCUCUACCACCUUCUCUGCUUAGUUUCUAUACACCCUUUUCACAUGUUUUUCAGAUGUUUGAACUUGAGAAUCAGAUUGAGGAGAAAAAGGUGAUUCUCAAGUCAUUAGAAGAUCUGGAUUCUGUACGUGAAAGGUAAUGCACUGUGCUUUCAGAUUUACGCCCUUACAAUGACUUUAUUUGGGUUCUUCACCUUUUCUACCUUCAGGUUUGAUGCUACAGAACAGGUUGAGGACGCAUUCACAGGCUUGAGGGUUCUCAAGUUUGAUGAAAACUUCAUUACGCUCCAACUGCGAACAUGUAUUCCAAAACUAGAUGGCUUGCUUGGACAGCACGACCUUGUGCACACUACUGAACCAUCUGAAUUGAUCCAUGAAUUGCUAAUUCAUCUCAAGGAUAAAACUACAGAGAUAACAAAAGUUGAGGUAAGAACACGCCUCCGAGUUUUUACCACCGACGUGUUUUUGUUUGAGUUUUGCAUGAAUAUAAAUGAACUUUUUUGUUACUUCCUAUUUCCUUUCGUGAAUAAUACUAAAAUCUACUUUUCUCCCUCAGAUGCUUCCAAAUGAUGUAUACAUAGGAGACAUCAUUGACGCUGCUGAUUCUCUCAGGUUUGUGCUCUGGCUUCUUUGUGUUGUCCUGAAAUUUGGUUUGCUUAUCAAUCUUGAAUUUUACUGCUACUUAAGUUAUAGAUUAAUAAGGAAUCAUAGACAAGAUGAUAUUUUUCUAUCUAUUCUUGCUAUCAAAACCUUGCACUUGAUAAAUUUGUUGGUUUUCAAAAGGUUACUCAGACUCUGGUUUGAGUGUUUCCAAUUGUAUGAACCUUUUGAGCUAAACUAGUUCAUGUAAUUACAUGGCAAGAAAACCCUGGGAUGACUGUUCUCUAUCAUCUAGGUCUUGUGUUUCAGUAUAGAUAUUUUUUUUGGGACAACAGUGUUUCAGUAUAUAAGCUAUGGCUUUCUAGCCCUUUUGCCGGAUCUGCAGUUUUCUAAAUUUCUGUUAAUACUAACUUUCUUCUGGUAACAUAGCUUCAGUAAGUUGAAUUAAUGUAUAAACAAAAAAGGGUAUCCCUUAAAAGUGCAGGCAGAUAAGAUUACACUCUGCAUUGCUAGACAGAUAAGAUUACACUUGUGUACCAUAAAAUAUCUUAAAACUGCAGGCAGAUAAGAUUACACUCUGCAUUGCUAGACACAAGAUCUUCACUCCAGUGGCUUGUCGCCAAGGUGAAAGAAAGAAUUAUUUCGGCCACUUUAAGAAAAUGUAUGGCGAAAAGUUCGAAAACAAUCAGGUGAGUCUUUCCUUUCCAGUAGCUUGGGACUAGAUGAAUUUUUUUUUUCCGAUAGGAAAUUCAUGUUUUUAAGCAAGCCAAUUCACUGCAUAAUCUUAUGACAGGCACACGUUCGAAUACUACGACAAAGAUGAAACAAUUGUGGCUCAUACAGCCGGAGGUAUCGAUGCAUUUUUAAAAGUCUCUGAUGGUUGGCCGCUGCUGAAUUCUCCACUAAAGCUCGCAUCUCUCAAGAACUCUGAGAAUCAUUCAAAUGGAAUCUCGCUGAGCCUAAUCUGCAAAGUAGAAGUAAGACCCUUCAAUACUUCUCGAUUUUAAUAAUUUCACCAUAGGAAAAGCUCUGCUUGCUAAAAAAUAAUGAUUGGAUGUUAGUUUCUGGUUUUAAUCAGCUUAACGAUUUUAUAACUUAAUCUAAUAUAUGUCAGGAACUAGCGAAUUCACUGGAUUUACAGACCCGGCAAAACUUAUCAAGCUUCAUGGAUGCUGUUGAGAAGAUACUUAUGCAGCAAAGUCGUGAGGAACUCAAUUCCAGUGAACCUUCCCAAAAGUGAGUUACCAAGAAAACGUCCUUAACUCCAUAACCUAACAUGUUUUGAGAAGUUUGUUGCGUGUUUGCUAUCUGCAACCCUUUUGUCGUAAUACUUUUGAAAUAACUUCUGCCAGGGUCGAAUCAUAUCUAAUGAUGAAGCUUGUUUUGCUUUAUGCUUAUGAAAAGAGCAAAUGUGAUAACAGAUUUGACAUGAAAGAGCCAAACUUUUAUUGUCCUAUAACUUCUUCUGGUCCUACCCAUUAGCCUUAUUGUCCUCAAGUUGCCUUCAAAUGUCCACAUCUUUACCCACUAUACUUAUGUCAUAAUGUAUGUAUAUGUACCAUUAUAAUUCAUAUUUUACAUUAUCUUCAUACACGCAUCUCCGCUGUUCCCACACCCACUUGUGCAUAUAACUAAAGAAAGAAAUAAUCUCCACUUUCUUUUUCCUAUAUAUUUAACUGCUGCAAGACUACUGGUUGAAAGCCAAGAAGCUCAGAGGUUCCUCUGCUCACACUCAUGGAGGAACCCAUCAUAGAGAGCUUCUUCUUCCCUCCAACUAACCUUCCUCCUGAAAUGAUGGAAGAGAUUCUCUUAAGACUACCCGUGAAGUCACUGAAGCGAUUCAAAUGCGUUUGCACCUCAUGGAGGUCUUUGAUCUCAGACACUCUGUUUACUCUGAAACACGCUUUGAUGUUGGAGGCGUCCAAGGCAACCACUUACAAGAAGAGUCCAUACGGAGUCAUCACAACGUCUCGGUACCAUCUCAAAUCUUGCUGCGUCCACUCUCUGUAUAAUGAGCCAAUGGCCAACGUCUUUGAGCAUGAUGGUGAGCUUUUAGGCAGAGAUUACUACCAAGUCGUGGGGACCUGCAAUGGGUUGGUCUGUUUCCAUGUAGAUUACAACAAAAGCUUCUACUUGUGGAACCCCACCAUCAAGGUUCAACAAAGAUUGCGUGGUUCGGAUCUUGAAACGGGAGAUGAGGUUGUUGUAAACUAUGGAUUUGGUUAUGAUGAAUCUGAAGAUGACUAUAAGAUAGUUGCAUUGUUGCAGCAAAGACAACAACUGAAGACAGAGGCAAUGAUCUACUCAACGAGGCAGAAGCUAUGGAGAAGAAGAAGCAGCAGCAACACUUGUUUUCCAUCUGGAGUUGUUCUUGCUAACAAAUCAAGAUCCGGCAUCUACAUCAAUGGAACACUAAACUGGGCAGCCACUCACUCCUCAUCAUCAGUUUCUACCAUCAUAUCAUACGAUAUGUCCCGAGAUGUGUUCAAGGAGCUUCUUGGACCAGGCUGUUGCAAGAGAGGAUGUUUUACAAUGACACUUGGAGAUUUGAGAGGAUGUCUUUCGAUGGUGUGUUAUUGCAAAGGAGCAAAAGCAGAUGUUUGGGUGAUGAAGGAGUUUGGAGAAAGAGAAUCUUGGUCUAAACUAUUGAGCAUUCCCGGUUUGACUGAGUUUGUUAGACCGCUUUGGAUCUCAAGAGAUUUCGUGGUUUUGUUGGAGUUUAGAUCCGGUUUAGCUCUAUACAACUGUGCCAAUGGGAAGUUCCAGUACCCAGUUCAAGACAGCUUGAGCGGUUGUCGGGACGCUAAAGUCUAUGUCAAGACAUUGGUUUCUCCAAGGGACCUUUAAGAUUGGCUCUAUACACAUUGUUUUCACUUUGGAUUUGGUUCAGUUUAUCUGCGCACCAUUGUUAUACAUCUACUUAAAAGGUAUUUUUUGUUCGUUCUUUAAUCGUAAAGUUACAUUUUUCAUGUGGGAAACAAUAUAAAAAAAAGCAAUCAGUCAAAUAUUCCCUAACAAAAUCAUCACCAUACCAACACACACAUCCUUUUGCUCUGUGUCUACGUACAUGGAAGAAUCUGGACCGUUAGAUCAAACAGUUGGAUGAUAAAAAAAUUCUCAGGAGGCUAUUUUAUCUGAGGUGGAGCUCCGACCAGAUCCUGGACUGGUGAAGACAGGAUUGUCUCUAGGCGUAGAGGAAGCUCCACGACCACUUGCACUGUUUCCCAUAUCUUUAGUCUUAUGAAGCAGAAACGUUCCUGACAAAAUAGUCACAAAACCGCACAGUUGUGUAGCGAUCUUUAACCCGCUCUGCGAAGCCCAGUCCUAUAAAUUACAUAGAGGAGAGGUUAAGAACAUGUUGUGUGAUGUUAGAUGGAGUUUAACUUGGGAGGGAAGAAAAGGAUUUGACCUUGAACAUGAUCAUACUAGCUAUAAUGGUGAAAGUUGUGAACAUAACGUAGUAAACCGGAGAAAUAACCGCUGUGUUGAACGUAUCCAAUGCCUUUUUGCAAAAUACAACAGAGAAGAAGCUCAGAAACAGAUAAUCAGUGAAAGUUAGAAGGCUUUUUGUUUACCUUGUUCAAGUAAUUGAUUUGCAAGAUGCAACAAACCGUGACUACUAUAAUAAAAAUCCAAGUUUGGAAGUAUUUGAACUGAUUCAUCUCUGAAAACGUCAGCUUUAUGGCGAUGGCAACAGCUUUCACACUCAUAACCUAACAACACAAGAGACAAAGCUUGAGGAAAUAUACUUAAUAGAGAGAGAGAGAGAGAUGAAGGAGCUUACAGUGAGAGAACCCAUUAAAGAGCAGAUUCCAACAUAAACUAUCAAAUGAGUCUUCCCAUAGCGAGGUUCAUAGUAGAAGAUGAGUACAAGCACCACAAUCAAGAUCACAGCAGAGUACACUAGAAACCCUGAUCCAACAGCAAAAUGUCCAUAUCAAUCUUUACAAGAAUCUACUUGCACAUCGAAGCUUGUGGAUUAGUGAUCAUACCUGGUUCAAUAGCAAGCUUCCAAACUUGCUUGACAGAUUUUAUUUCCUGCUCGUGAGGGGCGUGUAAGACUAUCGUUGUAGACCCAACAACACAGAGGACGCAACCAAGCACUCCGAAUAUGUGAAGUUUCUCUUGCAAAAUGAAAUGAGCUAGCACUGCGCUGCGUAAAACAUGUGCUUUUUCGUUUUCAAGAUAACCUAUAGUUUAUAUAAUCUUAGUAUGAUGAUCAUACUAAUGUAGUUAUUCAAGGAUACCUGAAUAUAAUACUAAGAGCUCCCAAAGGUGUGACUAGAAUAGCUGGUGCAAAUGCAUAGGCUGCAAAAUUGGCUACUUCCCCAACAAUCACUAAAAUGAAGAUAACCAAAACACACUCGUUAUAUCUCUCUCAGCACAAUUCAAACAGAGAUUUUUUGAACAUUACUGAUAAGACUCACUCGUAAUCAUUCCAGCCCACCACCAUGGUUCAUACAAGUAUCCAUGUCCUCCUUCACCUGAUUGUAGAUAAAAUCAACAAAAAAAAAAAAAACAUUAACAACCAAUAUUGCAAAACUGAAGUCUGAAUUCAAGAACAAAAAUGACAUAUAUAAAGACCUGCUCGGACCCCGGAUGCACCGGCCUUCUUGAGACCUUUUUUCUUGAUAAUGAAGCUAGAGCCAAUGAAGAUACUUGAGGAGACUGCUAAUAUGAGUCCAUUAAUGUUAUCAGAUGACAUCUGAUCCAUCUUGCCUUGUUUUUGUAUAAGAAAGAUGAAUCAGCCUGAGAUAUAAAAAAUUUCCACCUGCAGAUUUAAAAAGAAAAAAAAAAACACAAAACAGGUUAUGAACAUGAUCAAAUGAGAUUUCUUACUACAACUAAAAAUCUGAUUUUUUUUUUUUUUUUUGAACCAUCUGAAUUGAUCCAUGAAUUGCUAAUUCAUCUCAAGGAUAAAACUACAGAGAUAACAAAAGUUGAGGUAAGAACACGCCUCCGAGUUUUUACCACCGACGUGUUUUUGUUUGAGUUUUGCAUGAAUAUAAAUGAACUUUUUUGUUACUUCCUAUUUCCUUUCGUGAAUAAUACUAAAAUCUACUUUUCUCCCUCAGAUGCUUCCAAAUGAUGUAUACAUAGGAGACAUCAUUGACGCUGCUGAUUCUCUCAGGUUUGUGCUCUGGCUUCUUUGUGUUGUCCUGAAAUUUGGUUUGCUUAUCAAUCUUGAAUUUUACUGCUACUUAAGUUAUAGAUUAAUAAGGAAUCAUAGACAAGAUGAUAUUUUUCUAUCUAUUCUUGCUAUCAAAACCUUGCACUUGAUAAAUUUGUUGGUUUUCAAAAGGUUACUCAGACUCUGGUUUGAGUGUUUCCAAUUGUAUGAACCUUUUGAGCUAAACUAGUUCAUGUAAUUACAUGGCAAGAAAACCCUGGGAUGACUGUUCUCUAUCAUCUAGGUCUUGUGUUUCAGUAUAGAUAUUUUUUUUGGGACAACAGUGUUUCAGUAUAUAAGCUAUGGCUUUCUAGCCCUUUUGCCGGAUCUGCAGUUUUCUAAAUUUCUGUUAAUACUAACUUUCUUCUGGUAACAUAGCUUCAGUAAGUUGAAUUAAUGUAUAAACAAAAAAGGGUAUCCCUUAAAAGUGCAGGCAGAUAAGAUUACACUCUGCAUUGCUAGACAGAUAAGAUUACACUUGUGUACCAUAAAAUAUCUUAAAACUGCAGGCAGAUAAGAUUACACUCUGCAUUGCUAGACACAAGAUCUUCACUCCAGUGGCUUGUCGCCAAGGUGAAAGAAAGAAUUAUUUCGGCCACUUUAAGAAAAUGUAUGGCGAAAAGUUCGAAAACAAUCAGGUGAGUCUUUCCUUUCCAGUAGCUUGGGACUAGAUGAAUUUUUUUUUUCCGAUAGGAAAUUCAUGUUUUUAAGCAAGCCAAUUCACUGCAUAAUCUUAUGACAGGCACACGUUCGAAUACUACGACAAAGAUGAAACAAUUGUGGCUCAUACAGCCGGAGGUAUCGAUGCAUUUUUAAAAGUCUCUGAUGGUUGGCCGCUGCUGAAUUCUCCACUAAAGCUCGCAUCUCUCAAGAACUCUGAGAAUCAUUCAAAUGGAAUCUCGCUGAGCCUAAUCUGCAAAGUAGAAGUAAGACCCUUCAAUACUUCUCGAUUUUAAUAAUUUCACCAUAGGAAAAGCUCUGCUUGCUAAAAAAUAAUGAUUGGAUGUUAGUUUCUGGUUUUAAUCAGCUUAACGAUUUUAUAACUUAAUCUAAUAUAUGUCAGGAACUAGCGAAUUCACUGGAUUUACAGACCCGGCAAAACUUAUCAAGCUUCAUGGAUGCUGUUGAGAAGAUACUUAUGCAGCAAAGUCGUGAGGAACUCAAUUCCAGUGAACCUUCCCAAAAGUGAGUUACCAAGAAAACGUCCUUAACUCCAUAACCUAACAUGUUUUGAGAAGUUUGUUGCGUGUUUGCUAUCUGCAACCCUUUUGUCGUAAUACUUUUGAAAUAACUUCUGCCAGGGUCGAAUCAUAUCUAAUGAUGAAGCUUGUUUUGCUUUAUGCUUAUGAAAAGAGCAAAUGUGAUAACAGAUUUGACAUGAAAGAGCCAAACUUUUAUUGUCCUAUAACUUCUUCUGGUCCUACCCAUUAGCCUUAUUGUCCUCAAGUUGCCUUCAAAUGUCCACAUCUUUACCCACUAUACUUAUGUCAUAAUGUAUGUAUAUGUACCAUUAUAAUUCAUAUUUUACAUUAUCUUCAUACACGCAUCUCCGCUGUUCCCACACCCACUUGUGCAUAUAACUAAAGAAAGAAAUAAUCUCCACUUUCUUUUUCCUAUAUAUUUAACUGCUGCAAGACUACUGGUUGAAAGCCAAGAAGCUCAGAGGUUCCUCUGCUCACACUCAUGGAGGAACCCAUCAUAGAGAGCUUCUUCUUCCCUCCAACUAACCUUCCUCCUGAAAUGAUGGAAGAGAUUCUCUUAAGACUACCCGUGAAGUCACUGAAGCGAUUCAAAUGCGUUUGCACCUCAUGGAGGUCUUUGAUCUCAGACACUCUGUUUACUCUGAAACACGCUUUGAUGUUGGAGGCGUCCAAGGCAACCACUUACAAGAAGAGUCCAUACGGAGUCAUCACAACGUCUCGGUACCAUCUCAAAUCUUGCUGCGUCCACUCUCUGUAUAAUGAGCCAAUGGCCAACGUCUUUGAGCAUGAUGGUGAGCUUUUAGGCAGAGAUUACUACCAAGUCGUGGGGACCUGCAAUGGGUUGGUCUGUUUCCAUGUAGAUUACAACAAAAGCUUCUACUUGUGGAACCCCACCAUCAAGGUUCAACAAAGAUUGCGUGGUUCGGAUCUUGAAACGGGAGAUGAGGUUGUUGUAAACUAUGGAUUUGGUUAUGAUGAAUCUGAAGAUGACUAUAAGAUAGUUGCAUUGUUGCAGCAAAGACAACAACUGAAGACAGAGGCAAUGAUCUACUCAACGAGGCAGAAGCUAUGGAGAAGAAGAAGCAGCAGCAACACUUGUUUUCCAUCUGGAGUUGUUCUUGCUAACAAAUCAAGAUCCGGCAUCUACAUCAAUGGAACACUAAACUGGGCAGCCACUCACUCCUCAUCAUCAGUUUCUACCAUCAUAUCAUACGAUAUGUCCCGAGAUGUGUUCAAGGAGCUUCUUGGACCAGGCUGUUGCAAGAGAGGAUGUUUUACAAUGACACUUGGAGAUUUGAGAGGAUGUCUUUCGAUGGUGUGUUAUUGCAAAGGAGCAAAAGCAGAUGUUUGGGUGAUGAAGGAGUUUGGAGAAAGAGAAUCUUGGUCUAAACUAUUGAGCAUUCCCGGUUUGACUGAGUUUGUUAGACCGCUUUGGAUCUCAAGAGAUUUCGUGGUUUUGUUGGAGUUUAGAUCCGGUUUAGCUCUAUACAACUGUGCCAAUGGGAAGUUCCAGUACCCAGUUCAAGACAGCUUGAGCGGUUGUCGGGACGCUAAAGUCUAUGUCAAGACAUUGGUUUCUCCAAGGGACCUUUAAGAUUGGCUCUAUACACAUUGUUUUCACUUUGGAUUUGGUUCAGUUUAUCUGCGCACCAUUGUUAUACAUCUACUUAAAAGGUAUUUUUUGUUCGUUCUUUAAUCGUAAAGUUACAUUUUUCAUGUGGGAAACAAUAUAAAAAAAAGCAAUCAGUCAAAUAUUCCCUAACAAAAUCAUCACCAUACCAACACACACAUCCUUUUGCUCUGUGUCUACGUACAUGGAAGAAUCUGGACCGUUAGAUCAAACAGUUGGAUGAUAAAAAAAUUCUCAGGAGGCUAUUUUAUCUGAGGUGGAGCUCCGACCAGAUCCUGGACUGGUGAAGACAGGAUUGUCUCUAGGCGUAGAGGAAGCUCCACGACCACUUGCACUGUUUCCCAUAUCUUUAGUCUUAUGAAGCAGAAACGUUCCUGACAAAAUAGUCACAAAACCGCACAGUUGUGUAGCGAUCUUUAACCCGCUCUGCGAAGCCCAGUCCUAUAAAUUACAUAGAGGAGAGGUUAAGAACAUGUUGUGUGAUGUUAGAUGGAGUUUAACUUGGGAGGGAAGAAAAGGAUUUGACCUUGAACAUGAUCAUACUAGCUAUAAUGGUGAAAGUUGUGAACAUAACGUAGUAAACCGGAGAAAUAACCGCUGUGUUGAACGUAUCCAAUGCCUUUUUGCAAAAUACAACAGAGAAGAAGCUCAGAAACAGAUAAUCAGUGAAAGUUAGAAGGCUUUUUGUUUACCUUGUUCAAGUAAUUGAUUUGCAAGAUGCAACAAACCGUGACUACUAUAAUAAAAAUCCAAGUUUGGAAGUAUUUGAACUGAUUCAUCUCUGAAAACGUCAGCUUUAUGGCGAUGGCAACAGCUUUCACACUCAUAACCUAACAACACAAGAGACAAAGCUUGAGGAAAUAUACUUAAUAGAGAGAGAGAGAGAGAUGAAGGAGCUUACAGUGAGAGAACCCAUUAAAGAGCAGAUUCCAACAUAAACUAUCAAAUGAGUCUUCCCAUAGCGAGGUUCAUAGUAGAAGAUGAGUACAAGCACCACAAUCAAGAUCACAGCAGAGUACACUAGAAACCCUGAUCCAACAGCAAAAUUCCAAUAUCAAUCUUUACAAGAAUCUACUUGCACAUCGAAGCUUGUGAUUAGUGAGCAUACCUGGUUCAAUAGCAAGCUUCCAAACUUGCUUGACAGAUUUUAUUUCCUGCUCGUGAGGGGCGUGUAAGACGAUCGUUGUAGACCCAACAACACAGAGAACGCAACCAAGCACUCCGAAUAUGUGCAGUUUCUCUUGCAAAAUGAAAUGAGCUAGCACUGCGCUGCAUAAAACAUGUGUGUUUUCUCGUUUUCAAGAUAACCUAUAGUUUAUAUAAUCUUAGUAUGAUGAUGAUACUAAUGUAGGUAUUCAAGGAUACCUGAAUAUAAUACUAAGAGCUCCCAAAGGUGUGACUAGAAUAGCAGGUGCAAAUGCAUAUGCUGCAAAAUUGGCUACUUCCCCAACAAUCACUAAAAUAAAGAUAACCAAAACACACUCGGUUAAAUCUCUCUCAGCACAAUUCAAAGAGAGAUUUUAAGAACAUUACUGAUAAGACUCACUUGUAAUCAUUCCAGCCCACCACCAUGGUUCAUACAAGUAUCCAUGCCCUCCUUCACCUGAUAAUCAACAAGAAAAACAUUAACAACCAAUAUUGCAAAAACUGAAGUCUGAAUUCAAGAACAGACCUGCUCGGACUCCGGAUGCACCAGCCUUCUUGAGACCUUUUUUCUUGAUGAUGAAGCUAGAGCCGAUGAAGAUACUUGAGGAGACUGCUAAUAUGAGUCCAUUUAUGUUAUCAGAUGACAUCUGAUCCAUCUUGCCUUGUUUUUAUAUAACAAAGAUGAAUCAGCCUAAGAUAUAAAAAAUUUCCACCUGCAGAUUUAAAAAAAAAAAACACACAAAACAGGUUAUGAACAUGAUCAAAUGAGAUUUCUUGCUACAACUAAAAAUCUAAUUUUUUUUGAUAGAUUGUAGAAAUAUAAAGAGCUCCUACAAAAUUCAAAUGAUGACUGAUUACUCUAAUGAUGAGCUCAUCAACCAAAAAAGGACAAAUCUUGAUACCCAGAAAAAAUGAAGAAACAAAAAUUUUACUCCAAGAAUAAAAUCAAAAUUGAUGCUUUAGAGAAGAUUCUUCAUAAAAAAAACUUUGAUGGACUUGUUCCUCUGAUUUAUGAACAGAAAACAAAAAAAAAACGUAAGAGAGAACUCAAAACCCUCUGAUAUACGUUACCUUUUAAAUUCACAUUUAACAAUUAAUUCUCUCCAAUCAAUUUUUUAAUAUAAAAAAUAUAUAUAAAUGGUAGGAGAGACAAGAAGCAAGUGAAGAACAUGCCAAACACUUAUAUCCAAUCGCUUCACUUAUCAUCAAACACGGAACUCAGACGCUAUAUUAGAUUAAAAUCGUGAUUGCAAUCAAAGAAAACGAUUACGGCGAAAAGAAACAAACGAUUGAGUUAAAAGGUGGUGAGGGAGAAUAAUAUCGCGAGCAAGAACGUGUCCUCUAUUAGAAUAUUCGAAUUUGAAAGGUACCUUUAUCUGCUUUGCCACCUUCUCUUCCCCAAAACAAAAAAAAAAGAAGAAUGUGAGAGUCUAAGAGGCCAUGGGGGAAAGGAGACAAUUGAUUUUCUAACAAAUUUCUAUAAAAGAAAACUAGGGUUUUUGAUUUAACUAAAGCUUCAGAGGGAGCAUUAAGAAUCCAGCGGAUAUUGGUAACGCAACAGCUCAGAUAUUUUGCUCCUACACAUUUAUUUGUUUCCAAUUUUUAUACUUUCAUGCUCUCCACCUUCUUUUAUUUCCUUUUUUUUCUUUUCUUUUCCAUUUUUUUUACUUCUGCCAAAGUUUCUUCAUUCUUACUUUUAUUUUAUUUUUUCCUCUUACAAAAUACACUUUUAUUUAUAUUAACUUUUUUAUUUUGUGAAUUUUCUAACCUAAAUAAAAUCAGUUUCAAAAAUAUUAUAGACGAAGUCAACUAAUAGUAAACCUAAACUUAAUGUUUAAAACCUUUAAUUAAUGAAAAAUGUCUCACAAACCGCUGACGUGGCGGCACAUGAAUAAGACAACUGCCUCAUUAUAUUAUAGAUUUUACUUUAUCCCAUCCCAUGUCGUAUGUAAAGAGAGAUCAAGAUCGUAUGUAAAGAGAGACUAUUCACUUCACUGGUUAUAGUCUAUUGUUGAUUUUUUUUAUAACCUACCUAAAACAUGCGUUAUGACACCAUUUAUUUUAUACAAAUGCAUAGUCUUUUAAGGAUAAAAUACUUCAUUUUCUUCUUAACUUAAUUUCUAUGAAACAUUUAUAAUUUCAGAUGUCCAUAUACUUCAGAUCCAAGCAUUUAUUUUAUACAACAAAGACUCUCACAUCAUAACAAAAAAAAACACCUUCUCCAUCCAUUUCCUUCUCCAUCCAUUUCCUCCUCCUCCACAGCAGCUAAACAUCGCCAGCUGGUGAUCAUCUACACAAACACCCCAAAAACUAUACACACUAAUCCUAAAGAUUGCAUGGCUCUUGUUUAAAAACUCACAGGAAUGUCCCAUUUCGAGGAAGAUUCAGGCCGCAGCGCCACGAUUACCAAAGUGAUCAACUGAUGAAAACGUGGGAGAACAGUCGAUGUCCCUUUGCCACCAUUACCUCAGUCCAUGUAUGCGGCGACGGCGACAGAGAUAAACAGAAAGUCCUUCUCGCCAUACGAGGAACUCUUUGUCUUCUUCUUCCUAUCCUGGCUUUGAUGAUUUUAUGGAGUUUCACAAUCUUUAACCGUACCACAUUGUUUCCAUAAGAAAUAAGCCUUCAUUUUGGUGCAAAUGCAAUUCCAUGAAAAAUAAGUUAUUGUUAUGAACCAGAAUGUGGAUGGCUCAUAACCAAGAGAUUAUACCAUCAGCGGCCCAAGAAAGAGAAAGUUGGCCAGCUUUUCCUUUUCCUUUUUCCUAGUUGGAUUAUGAUUUGUACUCUUUUCAUUCACUACAAGAAAAAUGAGAUAUUGUUACGAAAUUUUGUGACAAUAUUUAUUGGUGACAAAUUUGUGACAUAAAAGAUACGUUAUUUUAACUAUAUUUUUACGUCACAGUUUAGUAAUUAUUUCGUCUCAAUACAGUGACGAUCAAAGUUGUAACAAAAAUUUGUCACAAUUAGUAACAUUAAUGUAACGGAAAAGGUCAACACACUACUUGUGACGUCAUUGUAACUAUGUUUGCUGUAACUAAUUUUUACUAACUUAUUAACGUUUUUUUUAUGUAACAAUUUGUUAUAAUUUAGCUACUAACAAUUAGUUACAAACCAUUAUAUAUAUAUAUGUACAAAUAUGUAUUUUUAAUUUUUAAUAAUUAUUAUAUUUACAUUUUACUUCUUUUGCUAUAGUUGAAUUUUUUAAGACUUCCUAUGAGUUAAUAUUACAUAAGUAUUUACUCCAAUAAUUUAGAGAUGAUAAUUUAGCUUACGCAUCAUUUUUCAUAAUUUAUCAUACCAAAAUUCUAAAUUUUUUACAUAUUAUGUUUGUGAUAUUUAGCGUUUGAUUAUUAUUUUGUUGACGUAAAAUCAAGCAGUUAGGUAAAAAAGGAUAUAUGAGAGAUGUGAUAUAUUUAUUAUAUAAACAUUUUAAACACCACGCAAGAGAGUAGUGAAACUGAAAUAUGGUUUAGUUUUAUUAACACUCUUUAGGCCAAUAAAAGCCCAGUAUUCUUGUUUCAUUUCUUUACUAAUCGUACUAUAUAUGUAUAUAUGCAUCACCCUCUUCACUGAAUAACCCUAGCAGCCAUAGAGAGAAAGUAGUAGCCGCCGUUUUCUUUAAUCUUUUCACCUCCGCUCAGCUUUUUCUCCUUGCCUUCGGAUAAUACAAGACUCAGCCGUCACCAUAGUCAUCAUUUGAGCUUCCUCUGACCACCAUAAGCUACUCUGUAGCUGUAAUAACCCUCACGAGCAGAUAUAAUUUUGGUCAAGAAAAUUCUUUAAGUUCAGUUUGAAGAUUGAUCGAUCAGAAUUUAAAUAAAAAUCGACACGGUGAAUUAAUCUCGACGGGGCUGUCUUUUGGUCGAAAAACCAUCUCUUGAUGGUUCUGGUCGAGUGUUAAUUAUUAUCGUUGAUUUUUAUUCAUGCUGGGUGAGUUUAUUCAGAGCAGGACGAGAUUCGAAUGAUGAAAAAUAUUUAGUCGAAACAGUCCGGAAAAUAUCGACAAAACUCUUAAAAUUAUUUCUGAACAGUCACAUGCUUUGCACCUUCUAGCCUACUUGCUUCCUCAGUAAUUAGGUCACAUGACCUACACCUACUUGCUUGCCUGCUUGCUCAUUAGAAGUCACAUGCUGGUCACAAGCUACUUGCUUCAGCUGCUUGUAGCUUUCUUCAUGGGAUGGAAAAGUUCAGCUGCUUGUGCUGCUUGGUGUGCUGAAGCAUGUCACCAGCUGUCUAACCUCAUCUUUGUCUUUUGUGGGAGCAAACCCUCAUCUGAAGCAACUCCUUAUGAUAUAAAAUACCCUCUUCUCUCCUCUGGACGUUCAUAACCUGCAAGAAAAACCAGAGAAAAAUUCAGAGAGAAAGAGAGAAAGAAGAGAGAAAAAUCUGUGAGAAAAGAUUCAUGAAAAAUUCAGAAAAAUAUUCAGAGAAGAGGAGUGAGCAUGGACAACUCUUUCUCACCAUCCUGUGACUUUAAUCAGUGAGUUUUGGAGUGUUUAAGAGCUGAAGAUUUGGUGUCCUGAAGUUGAGAAUCACCUAUGUUCUUCAGCCUUUGAUUUUGAUCGGUAAGAUGGUUGUGGAUCAGUUUCUGUGAGAAGUUUUGUUGGUUUGCCUACACUGGAGAUAAAUUCUGAAUAAAUCCAACCAUGGAUUCUUGUGGUGUUGAUCAGGUUAAUUCGUGGUUAGCUUGAAGAGAGACAACCAGUCAAGUUUAAUUAGUUGAGUAAAACCGGUAAGCUUCAGCUUCUUGAUUCAGCCAUGUUUUGAUGAGAACCAAUUGAUGUAUGUUGGUUAACCUGUCAGGAUCAGUUGUCUAAGGUCUUGUUCUCUUCAGUCUUGGUUGGUUUAUGAUUUAAUCAGUCUCAUAGAACCAGCAGACGAACUGUUAAGAAUUAUGGGAAUUAAACAGAACUGAUUUGAUCUUGUUUAGAACUGAAUUGAGUUGAGUAUGUUCUGAUCUGAUCUGAGCGGAGCUGUCUAUGGUCUGAAAUUGUCUUGAACUGAUGUCGUCUGAGUAUAACCGAGUUAAGCUGUUGGGAACUGAUUAGAACCGGAGUUAGCUGAGCAUGAACUAAGCUGAUAUGAACCGAGUUAAAUUGUUAAAGCUUGAACCGAGCUGAACAUGGUAUCAAUCUGUCUUGAACCGAACUGAUAUGAGAGAACUGAACUGAAAUGUUAUGAACUGAGUUGAGUUUCUUCUUGAACCAGACUACUGAACCUUAUGUUCCAACUGUUAUGUUUUGAAUUCAGAUGGCCAAGGAGAGUAUUCGGAUCAGCCGGAUCCUUGUGAUGGUUCUGAACCGAGAGUGAUCCAAAAGUGAAGUGUGAUUAGCUUGAGCUCGAGUCUAGUCUUCCUUAACCAAUCUCAUGGAUUUAAAAGUGAGUCUAGAUAGAUGAUGAAUGAAUUAUGAAUGAGUAUGCAUGAUUGCAUAUUGAAUAUGGUUGAUUAAUUAAGAAUUAAUCAUGAAUUAAUUAAGGGAUAAUCAUUUAUUAAUUAAGGAUUAAUCAUGGAUUAAUUAAGGAGUAAUUAUGGUUUGAUUGAUUAAGUAUUAUUCCUUGAUCUAUAUUUAUAUAUGAAGUAUUUAUCUAGUUUAAAUACUUAAGAAUAAGCAAGAAUAAUUCUUUGAGGUUAUCACGAGCCUUAGUACUUGUUCUCAAGUACUAAUCUAUAAGUAUUCUAUUAAUAAGUGUGAAUCAUGUGAAGUCUUAUUGUAUACUCACUCUCCCGAAAGUCCCGCAUUGCCGUGAAUUGGUCUUGCGAUAUGGAUCAAGGUCAUGAAGACACGAUGAUGGGGUCGCACCCUGGAGGCCGUGUAACUGCAUGCAGCGUUGGAUGUUCUAUCUUGGAAUAUCUGAUGGAGAUGAUGGUUAUAUUUAUUCCCCGUUAAGCUCGGUUAGCCUUGGUGGUUUUCCGGGUUUAGCAUAUAUAUAUAUAUUAAGAGUAUGAGUGAUUGGCGGGUAUCGUGGAGGUGAUGUUUAAGAUAGAUUCACAUGGAUGGAUUGAGAGGCCUUAUAUUAAUUAUGGAAUAUAAUUCCACUGCAUUCAAAUGGUGUCGAUUGCUCGGGAUACUAUUGAUAUGUGUUUGGGUGUGGGAUUAGACUCACUGAGUAAACUAGUUACUCAUGACUCAUUUGAUAUGCAGGUAACCAGUAGGUGGGAGACCUUUACUCUAGCACGGAAGGAACGACAUUAGCCAGCGGUAGUUUUAUUAUCCCUGCAAAGUCAUUUUGAUAUAUCUUAUGAAUAAGAUUUGUAGACCGAAAACCUCGAGGUUAAUUUAUAACAAAUUUUGUAAGAUGAUUUUGAAUGAUAUAUAAAUAAUGUUUUUUUUUAAAGUACGGGUUCCAUAUGAUAUUAGUCCUUGUCCGGACGAACUAACUAUCAGGUAUUGCUUUCUCGGGUUGAAAAGCCUAGAGUGGUAUCCGAUAGGAGCGUUGGUGUUCUUUGAUUGUUGGUCUAAGGCGAUCGGAAGUAUUCUGAGAACCUCAGAUCGACCAUCGAGGAACAUCGACCGUGUCAUUUCCGGUCAUCUAUGAUCGGGGGUGUCACAAAGGUGGUAUCAGAGCAUGGUUAUACGAUGCUAGAAUGGGACUUGUUUCAAAUGUUUUUUGAGUCAAAAUGAGUCGCAAGGAUAACUAGGAUAUGCUGGCUUGUCCCUUCAUUUUAGGAUAGAUAGUCAUGGGUAGUUACCUAACAGUGAUAUUUCAUAGUAGAAGCACCGAGACAAGCUUGAAUGGAUGGAGCGUACUUACCGAGGUUAUUAUCAUCAUGAUCAAGUUUGCUACCCUCAUGGUGGGGUUCACUACCUUCCUGCUAGAAGUCAAUAACCUCAUGCCUUCCUGCCGUUUUUCUGAGUUUUAGUGGGGAUGCUAAUACUUUAGAGAGAUUUAUGGGAUAUAAUUGAUACAUCGAAUACAUCUCCGGACUCGUGUGUUAUCGAUGUCAAGGUGGGUGUUGUUUGUGAUCCGGUUCAGAGCGAUUCGACUACACUUGAUCACAUAGAUGCACUUAUUAUUCCGGUUUCUCAAGUCUAACCAGCUCAUGCUAAGACGUACAAGCACCACAGCCAUACAAGCAUGAUUUCUUAAGCAUUUGUUUCAAGCUUAGCGUUGGAGGAAGAGAUGGUUUGACUGUAUUACAAGAUGAUGGAAGCACCAGAAGCAUUCUGUUUGCAACGGAAUAUCAUGAAGCUUAUGAUGCAAAGAAGAAGAAGUUGGGACCAUAAGAUACUGAAGAAGGACUAAACCGUUAGAAGUAUACUUUGGCUUGAGGCAGAUUUGGGAUCCAACACUCAGAGCAGAAUAUUCACGUGGCCGUUGUUCAGAGAAUUACAAGAAGGAUUUGGCAGCAAGCUAUUUGGAGAUGAACGCUAUGAGUUGUUGGUCGAGAGUCAAGAGUUACUUCAGAGAGUUGAGUUCGAGUUGGACAGAUUUCAUGAGUUCAGGAAGUAGUAUUUUCUACACAAGCAUCGAGAUACGUGGUCGAGUGAAUUGGAUUCAUCGAUUAUGGUUUGGAGAAUAAGCAAAAGAUCAUACGAAAAAUCUUUGGGAACUUAGCCAAGAAUUUUGGAGUAGAUAAAAGACCAUGGAGUUUCAAAGCUUCGAGGAGAUGUUAGAGUAUGACGUGAAUGUUAAAGAAGCUAUUAUUGCUGAAGAGGUUAACCAAGUCAUGCAGACCGUUUAUUUUCCAACCGCUGCAGAUCAAAGGUCAGUUUCAAGAAGUGAGUUAAGUAAGUCGUUGGGGAUGAUUUUGGGUGUACAUUUCAUCAGAUCAAGAUCGAGGACCUUGAGCCGUUAUGGUUGUGACUAGCAAAGACAGAAUGGUCGUGAUUGUCAAAGUUUGGGAAAUCCUGGAACGUUUGCAUCAUUCGCGCUUUGGUGGUUCUUGUGAAGAGUUAGGAAUUUAGGUUACCCUUCCUCAUGAAGUUACCCGAUCUACGUUACCUAUACCUAAGAUAACACUUGUUGAACUAGUCCGAUUUUCCUUACCGUUAGUCCACAUCCAAGUGUUAGGCUAUUUGGGUAGAGCCUACACUUUAUAGUUGCCUGGACCGUCAAAACCUCUGAAAAGGUCCAAUCACAGGUUUGCUUCUUAUCCCAUUGCGUGUUGUGUGCAUUUUAAAAAUUUAUGAAUGAUUAAAUAAAUAAGUGAAGGAGUGAUCAAGGUGUCGUAUGAGACCUUGCCUAUGGACGGAAUUUUCCGCCCAUAUUGUGUUUGAUGCGGGAACAACACAUAGAUGUAGUUCUCGGGUAGUGUCAUUGUUUUAGGAAGGAUUCACUUUAGUGAAUUCAAGUACACUGUUCUUAUUCGUGGAAGUACUGGCUGCCAUUUAGAGUUAUGGUAUGCCUUCGUAUCCCAUCCCCAUUCCUUAGUACUUCCAUUAGAGCGGUUUGUUUCUAUCUAGAGUGAGAUUGGCUAUCUAGUUAUCGAGCUCAAUUAGGAUGUUGUUGAGGAAGGAAGUCUUUGAGAGAAGACCAGUUACCGUUGGCCUGCAAUGGUAUUCUACUAAGUGUUGGAGCCUCGCUCAUAUCAGUCUGGAGAGUUGGGAACCUUUUGGGAAAUGGUGAAGUGGCGUAUUCCAUUAUCAUCAUAAUUGGGCGGAGAGAAAAUAACAAGAAGCAGAGUAUCGAGGACAGUUAGAUAACUAGGGAACAUGAAGCUAUGUUUAAGAAAGUGGAAAAUUUGUUGACAUCCAAAAGUAACCCGUCAAGUAUUCUGGUUGAACCUUGAUUCGCUGCAAUUGCCUAGGCAUCUAUCCAAGUGGUUCUAGCCAAAUUCAAGUAGCAGUCAGAAGAUUUGUUUGGAGAAAGGUUUUGUUCGACUUAGUUAUUUUCUGUGGAGUGUACCCAUGUCAGUGGUAAAGAAGAAGAACCAGAGUUUGCGGUUAUGUUCGAGUAUAAAAUCAAGGACGUGACCAUCAGGGUCAAGUAUCAAGUUCUAGAAUUGAAGAAUGGUUAAGAUCGGUUGCAAGGCGUAGUUUUAUUCCAAGGACGUUUGAUGGACGCUUCACGUUGUAGUAAAUAUUUCUGCACGGAAAUUGGAAGUUAGAUCCCUUAGUCAGUAAAUGGAACAAGGAGUUGUUGCAUAUUUACAAAAGAUCGCUACUACUACAUAAUGGUCGUACUCAAUUUCAGUUAUCGAGAUUCGAAGUUCUGUGGAUUGGCCGGUUACCAUCAGAAGUUUGUUCAAGAGUUAGAAACCAUAUCCACCAAUGAGUUGAUCGACUGAGAAUGGUGUUACCUUGGAAUGGAGUAAAAGUAUUGAUGAAGUAUGAAAUUAGUUAGAGGAAGUAUCUACGUCUAUGCAUAUCUUAGACUUGCAUGAGCCUAACCAGCCAUAUACUACUACAUGGAUGUAUUAUGUGUUGGUCUAGGUGAAUGCUAAUGCAAGACGAUAUGGUAAUCAUUUAUGCAUCAAGGGAGCUAAGGAAGCAUAAGGAAAACUAUUUGAUGCACAAGUUGGGGUUGGUGGCAGUUCUGUUGCACAUCAAAUUUAGUGAUCAUUUCAAUAUGGGGAAAGGAUGCAAGUUUUCACUGAUCAAAGAAGCCUAAGGAAGAGCAAAUAUUGCUGCUUAUGCUUUAAGAGGAAGUGAUAUUAAUGAUGAUAUGGAGUAGGAUCUCAAGAAUCAUGAAGCGGAAUUGGGAGUGAUUUAUUUUGCUGCCUUAUAAGGAAAGAAUAGAGAACCUUCAAGAUUGCAAGUAGAAAAUCAAGAUGGCUUAUUCAUUCGUAUUUGAGGAACUCAGUUGAAGGAUGAGAAUCUAAGGAAUUCAUAGAAGGAACUGGGUGAAGAGAAUUUCGAAGAAUAGUAUGAGGACUGUGUCAUGUACAAGUUCAUAAAGUGGAGAUGUGGGAGAAGGAAUCCAAAUUCAACCUAAAAUUAAGCAGAUGUGAAGUAAAUCCCAAGGAAGAUUGAAGAGUGCAAGGAAAAAGGUAUAACCAUAAGGCAUAUGGGGAUGCUCAAGUUGUUAAGAGAUCAGAAGAUAUAUUAACAGAGAAAGUGUGAAGUCAUCAUACAAGAGUACUUCGUUGGUAAAUCAAGUUUGGUAUAGGCGGACUUGUUGAUUCCUCAGUUACUAGACAGAAGAAGGAAAUCAGAAAGUAAUAGAACAAGACUUGGAUAUGCGAAAUUUCAGUGAGAUUGAGUCGUUCAGAAGUUUUUGAAGAGUAUCUCAGAUAGAUAAGAAGGGUAUGGAAUACUGUAAGGGAAAUCAUUUCUGGAAUAAGUGUGUUUGUGUGUAUUUGAGAGUGGCACCCUUGGUCUGAAUCAUGUUAGCGUGAUUGAUCGUGCAUGUUCUUGUUUGAUUGUUGCACGGUUAAUCAAGUUAACAUUGACCAGACUGGAGAUGUUACAUUCACGUAUGGCACAUCACCUCACGUUCCAAAUUUCAUGUUGCUGUUAUGGGAGAAAGCCAGAUAAAAAAGGUUGAGAAGUGAUAGUCUAUAGAUACAAGAUUGUUAGAAAAAGUAUGCAGACCGCAGUUGACAAGAGUUGUGCAGAGUAAAGAAUUUGGUUAUCUUGAAAGUGGCUGCUCAUAAAAGAAAGGAUCGGUUGGGAGAAUCAAGGGAUCAACCAUGAGUUGUUUUGAUAUGGGCAGAUUAAGAUAAGGUCAGAGCUAUUAUCCAGAACUCCUUUCAGAGACUGUUCAGUAAAGAGUGUACAGUUACGUUUUCAGAAUUCGGGGACGAAUUCUUUUGAGGGGGGAAGAAUGUAAUAACCCUCACGAGCAGAUAUAAUUUUGGUCAAGAAAAUUCUUUAAGAUCAGUUUGAAGAUUGAUCGAUCAGAAUUUAAAUAAAAAUCGACACGGUGAAUUAAUCUCGACGGGGCUGUCUUUUGGUCGAAAAACUAUCUCUUGAUGGUUCUGGUCGAGUGUUAAUUAUUAUCGUUGAUUUUUAUUCAUGCUGGGUGAGUUUAUUCAGAGCAGGACGAGAUUCGAAUGAUGAAAAAUAUUUAGUCGAAACAGUCCGGAAAAUAUCGACAAAACUCUUAAAAUUAUUUCUGAACAGUCACAUGCUUUGCACCUUCUAGCCUACUUGCUUCCUCAGUAAUUAGGUCACAUGACCUACACCUACUUGCUUGCCUGCUUGCUCAUUAGAAGUCACAUGCUGGUCACAAGCUAUUUGCUUCAGCUGCUUGUAGCUUUCUUCAUGGGAAGGAAAAGUUCAGCUGCUUGUGCUGCUUGGUGUGCUGAAGCAUGUCACCAGCUGUCUAACCUCAUCUUUGUCUUUUGUGGGAGCAAACCCUCAUCUGAAGCAACUCCUUAUGAUAUAAAAUACCCUCUUCUCUCCUCUGGUCGUUCAUAACCUGCAAGAAAAACCAGAGAAAAAUUCAGAGAGAAAGAGAGAAAGAAGAGAGAAAAAUCUGUGAGAAAAGAUUCAUGAAAAAUUCAGAAAAAUAUUCAGAGAAGAGGAGUGAGCAUGGACAACUCUUUCUCACCAUCCUGUGACUUUAAUCAGUGAGUUUUGGAGUGUUUAAGAGCUGAAGAUUUGGUGUCCUGAAGUUGAGAAUCACCUAUGUUCUUCAGCCUUUGAUUUUGAUCGGUUAAUUCGUGGUUAGCUUGAAGAGACAACCAGUCAAGUUUAAUUAGUUGAGUAAAACCGAUGGCCAAGGAGAGUAUUCGGAUCAGCCGGAUCCUUGUGAUGGUUCUGAACCGGGAGUGAUCCAAAAGUGAAGUGUGAUUAGCUUGAGCUCGAGUCUAGUCUUCUUUAACCAAUCUCAUGGAUUUAAAGGUGAGUCUAGAUAGAUGAUGAAUGAAUUAUGAAUGAAUAUGCAUGAUUGCAUAUUGAAUAUGGUUGAUUAAUUAAGAAUUAAUCAUGAAUUAAUUAAGGAAUAAUCAUUGAUUAAUUAAGGAUUAAUCAUGGAUUAAUUAAGGAGUAAUUAUGGUUUGAUUGAUUAAGUAUUAUUCCUUAAUCUAUAUUUAUAUAUGAAUUAUUUAUCUAGUUUAAAUACUUAAGAAUAAGCAAGAAUAAUUCUUUGAGGUUAUCCUGAGCCUUAGUAGUUGUUCUCAAGUACUAAUCUAUAAGUAUUAUAUUAAUAAGUGUGAAUCAUGUGAAGUCUUAUUGUAUACUCACUCUCCCGAAAGUCCCGCAUUGCCGUGAAUUGGUCCUGCGAUAUGGAUCAAGGUCAUGAAGACACGAUGAUGGGGUCGCACCCUGGAGGCCGUGUAACUGCAUGCAGCGUUAGAUGUUCUAUCUUGGAAUAUCUGAUGGAGAUGAUGGUUAUAUUUAUUCCCCGUUNNNNNNNNNNNNNNNNNNNNNNNNNNNNNNNNNNNNNNNNNNNNNNNNNNNNNNNNNNNNNNNNNNNNNNNNNNNNNNNNNNNNNNNNNNNNNNNNNNNNNNNNNNNNNNNNNNNNNNNNNNNNNNNNNNNNNNNNNNNNNNNNNNNNNNNNNNNNNNNNNNNNNNNNNNNNNNNNNNNNNNNNNNNNNNNNNNNNNNNNNNNNNNNNNNNNNNNNNNNNNNNNNNNNNNNNNNNNNNNNNNNNNNNNNNNNNNNNNNNNNNNNNNNNNNNNNNNNNNNNNNNNNNNNNNNNNNNNNNNNNNNNNNNNUCCCGCAUUGCCGUGAAUUGGUCCUGCGAUAUGGAUCAAGGUCAUGAAGACACGAUGAUGGGGUCGCAUCCUGGAGGCCGUGUAACUGCAUGCAGCGUUGGAUGUUCUAUCUUGGAAUAUCUGAUGGAGAUGAUGGUUAUAUUUAUUCCCCGUUAAGCUCGGUUAGCCUUGGUGGUUUUCCGGGUUUAGCAUAUAUAUAUAUAUUAAGAGUAUGAGUGAUUGGCGGGUAUCGUGGAGGUGAUGUUUAAGAUAGAUUCACAUGGAUGGAUUGAGAGGCCUUAUAUUAAUUAUGAAAUAUAAUUCCACUGCAUUCAAAUGGUGUCGAUUAUUAUAUUAAUUAUGGAAUAUAAUUCCACUGCAUUCAAAUGGUGUCGAUUGCUCGGGAUACUAUUGAUAUGUGUUUGGGUGUGGGAUUAGACUCACUGAGUAAACUAGUUACUCAUGACUCAUUUGAUAUGCAGGUAACCAGUAGGUGGGAGACCUUUACUCUAGGACGGGAAGGAACGACAUUAGCCAGCGGUAGUUUUAUUAUCCUUGCAAAGUCAUUUUGAUAUAUCUUAUGAAUAAGAUUUGUAGACCGAAAACCUCGAGGUUAAUUUAUAACAAAUUUUGUAAGAUGAUUUUGAAUGAUAUAUAAAUAAUGUUUUUUUUAAAGUACGGGUUCCAUAUGAUAUUAGUCCUUGUCCGGACGAACUAACUAUCAGGUAUUGCUUUCUCGGGUUGAAAAGCCUAGAGUGGUAUCCGAUAGGAGCGUUGGUGUUCUUUGAUUGUUGGUCUAAGGCGAUCGGAAGUAUUCUGAGAACCUCAGAUCGACCAUCGAGGAACAUCGACCGUGUCAUUUCCGGUCAUCUAUGAUCGGGGGUGUCACAGUAGCCACUGGAACUACCGGACAUCAAUGGCGUCACCUUAUUCUUAUUAUCACUGUGCAGCGGAUCUGAGAGAGAAUGGGAAGAGACCGGAUGAGUCGCUUUUCAUCACCACCGCUCAUCAUUAAGCACCGCCUCGAGUGUUCUUUACCGAAGGCGCCUCCCUCAUCACUAGCGGCGGGGACCACAAAGGCAAAGACAAAGGCGUUGUGUGAUUAAUUUUUCUUUUGUAAUUGUUUAUUUUAUACUGUAAUUGUUUAUUUUUUUACUAAACAAAAUACUAUUAAUGAAUAGUAAUAAUAUAGUGUAUUCUUGCUUACACUGGUUGUUAGAAUGAUUUAGUCAAAGUUUUAACAUUAGGAUGAAUUAUUAGCAUCCAAUUUCGAUGAAAUCGCAAAAAGCUCUCAUAAAUAAUUGACGAAUAAUACAUGUGGAACGAGUAGCUCAUUAAGACAUUCUGUGGAGAAUUUCUAGUAAUAAAGCGUGACAGAGUUAAUUUGUAUAUCGGCCACUAAUUAGUACGGAGGGGAGACAAAUUACCAGUCUCUAAUUGUAACAAUUUUCAGACUAUUGUUCGGUCACAACUAAGACGAAAUUGUAACGUUAUGUUAGUCGCAUCAUAUGACGAUUUUAUUACGUUAUUAUUGGUCGAUAGUUAUGACCAUAUUAUUACUUUUGUAUAUAGUCAUGAUUUGUGAUGAAAUUAUCACUAUUAAGUUAGUCACAACAUUUGUAACGUUUUUGUUACCCAUAAAAAUUUGUGACGACGCUAUUGUAACCGUUUAUAAACAGUAACAAAUUGGUCACAAUAGUUAUAUUGUGACAGAAUUUUUAAUAUUGUGACAGAGAAAUUAGUAACAAUACACCUAAUUUCUUGUAGUGAUUUAUCUAUGAUGGUGUAAUCUCCUAUAUAAGGAACCUCUAUGUUAUGAAUAAAGGUAGACUUUUCUAUUACUUUCACAACACAUUAUCAACACGAUUGAUCUCUAAAACCUAAGCUAAAAUAUCGACCAUAAACCAUAAAUCUCUCUCCAUUGCUAAAAACCUAAUCUCUAUUGAUCACCUCUCUUUGAUCAUGACCCUGAUCUGUAUUCGACCACUGAUCUCAACAAGAUCGAUCUGUGGACUGAUCUCUGCAAGUUUCAGUACGCCUCAACUAUUCCAGAUUGUACGAUCAGGCUGUUCCAGUCCGUGAUCAAACUGUCCCAAUCUACGAGUUCUUUGACUGCAAGUACCAGCUCGCGUACCAACGAUCCCAAUCAGCUCAACCUAAGCUAAGUUUUCGAUCUCUAUCUGAAUCUCCAUCGAUCUCCCUCUCUCUAUCGAUAAUACUUAUUAAGGAAUCAUCAUAUCAAUCAUUGAUUUAGGAAUCUUUGUAAAUAAGGAUACAAAAUAUAUUAGCAUUAACUCUGUUUGUAAUGCCCUAUCUAAUGGCCGUGUAUAUAAGGCUCCAAUGUACUCUCUUCAUAGGGGAUAUAUACUAUUUACAACUCUACAUGGUAUCAGCGUCAACUGUAGGACGACGAGUACGAUCUAAUUGGUUCGAGGGGUGAUGUAUUCCUGAAAUACUGUCAUUUGAACACAUGAGAGAAUAAUGUGUUCAGUUUCUCUAUCAAUCUCCAAAAUUGUUUCCCAAGAUGUAUUAAAAUAUGUGAGGUCUUUAAACGCUAAGCUUCUUUCGUCCUUAGAAUUAAAUAGUUUAUCCCAUGAUUUCGAGUGCAUACCUCUAAUAUGGCCCAUUAGACUUCACUAAAAUUAUGCCACUGCACUCAUUACUUUUCUCUUUACCGUUUUUGGUAUGUUUUCAGUUUUUUCUUUAUCGUUUUUGGUAUGCAAAAAUAGGACAUUACAUGGUUGAAAAAAGUUGUAUAUUUAUAAAAAAAACAUCAUCGAUGCAUAUUCUGUUUGAAAACUACAAGUCCACUAGUAAUCCAAUUAUCUUAGUAUACAUUAUUGAUCUAUAUUCUUAUUCUCCUAAUUCCACUAUCAAAUCCAAUACAAUGUUAUUUUGUAAUUUUGGUCUCAAAUAUCUUAAACAGAGCUGUGAUAAUAAACCUAUCUAUACAAUUAAAAUGGAAUGAUUCUUAAAAAAUCUAUUUAAACAAAGUUGUUAGACCAUUUUAUUAGAUUUAACUAUUUUUUGUCUUACCUUAUAUUUCUUUUACUAUAUAAAUACUUAACAUAAUUUAAAUGAACUUAUUUAUUAUUCUCUCAGAAUCUAUUAUAUAAUUAUUUUGACAAUAAAGACAAAUUAUUCAAACAUAUUUACACAUGACGUAAUCAUUACCACAUAUAGUUUCAUUAAUAAUAUAAAAAUUUCAAUGGUUUAGUUAUGUUUAAUAUAUGUUAUAAUGGAGAAUCUUCUGGUGUAUAACAUUUCUUUUUCAUUUUUACGUGAAUUAGAAACUAAAAACCUUAAUGUCAACUAUUCAACUAUGAAACAUUAAUUUAAUUAAUUAUAUGCAAUCAAUUAUUAAGAUUUGAUCUUACAUUCUUAUAUAUAAACUAAAUGAUUAAUUUUAUCAUAAAAAUAUCAAAUGGUCUAAAUGGGUUGGAGAUUUAAAUGGAAUUAGUAAAAAAAAAGACUGGUUUAAAUAAAACAUGUUAUUUACUAUACAAAUUCUAAAAAAUGCAUAUGAUAUGUUUUAUUGAAUUUUCACAAAUGUAAAAUAUCUUGUGCUUUAAAUCAGGUAGUUUAGGCUGUUUGAAAAAAAAUAUAGGAUAAAUAAUUAACUAUUAAUUUUUUGAAUAAAAAAUAUUUGAGUCGUUAAUUUUUUUUUUGCAUAAUUUGGUUUAUAAUAGGAUUUUUAGGAUAUUUGGUGAUUUAGAAAUUAGAUAUAAUUAAUAUUUGUAGAUAUAUAAUUUGUAUUUUAAAAGUUUAAGUAUUCAUUUGGUUCUCAGUUCAGUUUCUAUUUUUCUAUUCCAAGGAUGUAGGAUAUGUUCGGUUAUUUAUGAAAUUCAGUUUAAUGUUUUUUUUCAGUUUGGUAUGGUGCAGUGCUCCCAAUUAAAUGUACCCAAACCUAUACAUUAUGUUAUAUAUAAAUUAAAUAAGAAGACUUUAUUUAAUUUCAAAAAUAAAUCGGGCUUUCUAAAUGUGGUUCAAAAUAGGGACCUAAACUCGAAGAGCCGCUCGUUCGUACAGAGGGUUAUAGUUCUUUGCCUAGGCCUAAAAAAGAAAAGAAAAAUAAAUAAUUAAAGAAAUCGUCCACUUGCGGCAUAGAUAAAGAGAUUCGACUUUGUCCCCUUUCCUCUUCGAUUCGAUUGCAUAUCUAGAAACCCUAGGCCCGCCGGGAUCUACCUCCGAUUUCCCCCAUUCUGCCUCUCUCUAGUUUUGGUGAUGGAAGCUUAGCCUCUGCUCUAUCCAAAAUUGACUUACCUCCGCGCCGGUGUUCAUCUCAGAUCGACGAAAGCCGAAACUGCUGUGAAGCGCUGCUUGCUUCAAUGGCUUCUAACGCCGGUAAGCCCUUCUGGAUGAAACACGCCGAAGACGCCAAAAUCAAAGACGACGGAGAGAAAGACGCCGCCGCAAAAGCAGCUUUCGACGCCACUUUCAAAGGCGUCGACCAACAAACGCCGUUGAUUGAACCUGCUCCAUCCUCCGCGGCACCGGAUUCUUCGCCAGAAUCCGACAGCGAUUCAGACGACGAAUCUGAUUACCUAUCGAGAAAACCAAUCGGUCCUGUGGAUCCGAGUAAGUCCACGGCUUCCGGAGCUGGCAUCGGUGGAGGAACGGCCUGUGCUCCGUCAACGUUUAUAGUAGUAACGAAGGACUCUGAUGGAAGAAAAGUUCCGAAUGGUGGAGCUUUGAUUAGGGUUAAAGUGUCUCCUGGUGUAGGUGUUGGUGGUACUGAUCAGGAAGGAGUGGUGAAAGAUGUUGGAGAUGGGAGUUAUUCUGUUACCUACGUUGUGCCUAAGAGAGGUAACUAUAUGGUGAGCGUUGAGUGCAAUGGCGUUGCUAUCAUGGGAAGUCCUUUCCCUGUCUUCUUUAGCCAAGGUAUGAUCUUGUUCUCACUUUCAAGUAAUUAACUUAUGACUGUUCCUUUGAUGUUAAAAGGUUCUGUCUUUAUCGAAAACUGUAACAGGCUCUUCUUCCACCGGACUGAUUGGUUCUGCUCCAGCUUCAUACUCAAACCUUAUCAACCAGACAAUGCCAAACAUGCCGAACUACACUGGUUCUGUUUCGGGUGCUUUCCCAGGGAUGUUAGGGAUGGUUCCUGGCAUUUCCCUUGGUCCUUCAGGUGGUGCUAUAUUGCCUGGGGUUGGAGCUUCUCUUGGGGAAGUGUGCCGGGAAUAUCUUAAUGGUAGAUGUGCAAACACUAUGUGCAAGUUGAAUCACCCUCCACAGAAUUUGCUCAUGACUGCUAUAGCGGCAACAACUAGCAUGGGUAAUCUAAGUCAGGUACCUAUGGCGCCUUCCGCUGCAGCAAUGGCUGCUGCUCAGGCUAUUGUUGCCGCACAAACCCUUCAAGCCCAUGCUUCUCAGAUGCAAGCACAGGCUCGAUCAAACAAAGGCUCUUUAGGUAUUCUGUCCUUCCAUUCUUUGUCUCUAUAAUAUAUUAUCGAUUUUGGUAUAUGAUUACAUAGAAAUUUAGUUUGCUUCCUGUUGGGAUACUCAUGAGUUGAAGUAGUUUCUGGUUUAGGUUCCCCGGAAAAAGAAGUAACGGGGGAAGCGUUGAAGAAAUUUCUCCAAGUUAGCAACCUGAGUCCACUGCUUACAACUGAACAGCUCAAGCAGCUGUUUAGCUUCUGUGGCACAGUGGUUAACUGUACUAUAACUGAUUCGAAGGAUCUUGCUUAUAUAGAAUACGGAAAGACCGAAGAAGCAACCGCUGCUUUGGCAUUAAAUAAUAUGGAAGUCUGUGGUAGGCCUUUGAAUGUUGAGAUUGCGAAAUCGCUUCCUCGAAAACCAUCUUCGGAUAACUCUUCUUCGUCCUCACUACCAAUGAUGAUGCAACAGGCCGUCGCGAUGCAGCAGAUGCAGUUCCAACAGGCUAUACUGAUGCAACAAGCCAUGGCUACUCAGCAGGCUGCGAAUAGGGCUGCCACCAUGAAGUCUGCCACCGAGCUUGCAGCAGCUAGAGCUGCAGAGAUAAGCAGGAAACUGAAUCCUGAUGGAGUUGUAAAUGACGAGAAAGAAGACGACAAGAAACCUAGGUGGGCUUCCAUGACCUGUGGCUUGCUCUUUGCUCUUUUUGAUGACAUUGUCAUAUUAUUUGAGAGCUGAACUGAUAGUCACCACUCUUGUGCAGGUCACCAUCCAACUCUCCUGCCAGGUCUAGAUCAAAGUCAAAAUCACCAAUUAGUUACAGGCGAAGGAGGAGAUCUCCGACUUAUUCACCACCCUUUCGUCGCCCUCGAAGUCAUAGGUCAAGAUCACCGUUUAGAUUUCACCGGCGAUCAACCUAUGAGGAGAGAAGGCGGUCAUAUAGAGAUUCUAGGGAUAUUUCUGAAAGUAGGAGAUACGGUAGAUCAGAUGAGCAGCAUCCAUCUAGGUCGAGGAGAAGUAGGAGUGUAAGCCCCAAGAAGAGAAAAUCCAAGCAGGAUGAUUCAGAGCUGUCAAGACAUCGACGUGAUAGCUCAUCUCGUGGGGAUAAGAAAUCAUCUCGUACUGGCUCACGAUCGCCAAGGCGAGAUAAGGAAACUAAGUCAACACCAAGAGAUGAUGAAGAAACAAAACACCAACGUAGAGCUCGUUCAAGGUCAAGAUCAGUGGAAGAUUCCGCAGAUAAGAAGGAUGAAGCUAGAGAUGAGGAACUGAAACAUCACAAAAACCGGGCAAGGUCAAGAUCUCGUGAAGAUCGGAAAAGAACCAGAGCCUCAUCCAGAAGUUCUGAUGAUACUGAACGGAAACACAGGGUGAGGUCCAGGUCUAGAUCAUUGGAAAUCAACAAUGGCUCUCAUGAGGAAGUUGAUGGUGCUGAAGACAAUGACGACAAUAUGAAGGAGGAGAGGAGGGGAAGGUCUAGAUCAUUGGAAACUAAACACAGAUCUUCUAGGAGAAAUGAGGUGGAUGAUGAUAAAAAGACAGGAUCACGUAGAAGGAGGUCGAGGUCCAAAUCAGUGGAAGGUAAGCAUAGUCAUCACACCAAGGAGACUCAGAGCAGGGACAGAAAGUCUAAGCGACGCAGUGGAAGGCGGUCGAGGUCAGUGUCUUCUGAGGGUAGGCAUAGGAGAGAGAGAAGGUCAUCCCCUGAUGAAAAGAAAUCAUCAAGACAAAAGGGACACUCGAGGUCUAGAUCGAGAGAGAAGAGGAACAGUUCAAGGGAUAAAAGAUCAAAACGUCAUGAAAGAUUGAGGUCAGCUUCUCCUGGUGACGACAAAGGACGAGGCGACAGAUCCUCUCCGGUUAGUUCUGAAUGAUCAGCUGUUUAAAUAACAGCCUUUUUCUCCAAUUGAAACCAUCUACUAUUUCAAAUUUAAGUCAAUGCUACUUUCGGUAAUCUGUUUAAAAUUAUCAAAGUUGUUUCUACUUUACUUACUUCCAAUGUGAACGAGGUUGUUGUUUCAGGCUUUCAGCUUUCAAGUAAAAGAGCAAGGUAACUUUAUAUUCAUGGUCUAUUUAAGGAAUUAAAGCACCGAGAAAAGAGCAAAUUAUUAUCUAUUGGGUGGGUUUCUUAGGUUAGUGAUGAAUUAGAACCUCAAAGUCAUUAGUUAUUUUUAUAAGUUUAACUCUGUGUCUCAGCUCAUGUUGGAGAGGGUCUCCGUAUUUGCGCUUUUCUAUAUAUUUUUAUAGACCGACACGACUGAGUUUUUGUUGGGUGUGGGGGUUGGUUUAUACAAAAACGGUAUGGUCUUGUUAAACUUGAGGACUUGCAAGUUUAAUCUUCACAAGGAGGAGGAUCAAGAACGUGUCUAUGGACGUCUUCAUUAUGAGAUUUGGCCGUUGCAAGGAGUACAUGGACUCCAUAUCCUGCCUGCCGAGGUUUCUCACGAUUCCUACUUCUCACAGUAUGUGCUUCCACGUUGGCUAAGCCCGCUCACUUAACCCUCUUCUUGACUGAUUUCUUUCUAUGCUUGCUUCAAUUACUUGUAUUGAAGAUGUGCUUUUGAAAUUGCCGAGUAAUGAAAACCCUAAACUCCAACUUCCAGGGAUGCAUCAUCGAACAAGACGUAUGAUCUAUGUACUCUUGGCCCCCAUCUAAUCAAAUUUAGGAUGUCCAUUUCGUAUGCAAACUCAGUAGGGUUGAUGAUGACAAAAAAAGUACAAAAUAACAACAAUUCAAACAACAAGCAUUAAAAUAUUAUAUAUGUAGAAACAUCUCUCUCUCUCUAUAUCAUGUUCACUAAUAUUAAUAUUCAUCCGUAAUCAAAUAUGCUUUCCACACACUCGCACAAAAUCAAGUAUGCAUUACUAUUACCAUAAUCAUUCGAACAAACAUCAUUGCCUAUACUACGAUCACAAACUGUUUGUCUUAUUUCAAUCUCCUCCACACAAACUCAUCAUACAUUAGAAAGCAAUGUAAACACACUUUCUAAAGAAAAUAAAAUAAACAACGGGGACUUUCUUUGUUCAUCCUCCUCCGUUAACUAAUGGCGUGAUUAAACCACACUUCUUCAGUUCGCAUUUAACCUUAUCCAUCUCAGCCUCCGGCAACGUCACCGUCACAACCCUCUCCCCCUCCUUAGCCGCCGGCAAAAUCACCACCGCUCCCUCAUCUCCUAUCCCCUGAACAUUACAGUAGACCGACACCGGCGACGUCUCCCUUAUUUUCGCCUCGUAGAAAUCAACUUGGGUUAGAUCCACAAACGUCAGUUCCGCACCGUAGACGACCAAAUCCAAAACACCAUCAUCUCUCUCUCCGAUCUCAUCGAUCCAGAACCUCUCAUCGGUCGCCUCUCCGAUAGAUUUCACAAUCUCCUCCAAAUUGACUUCCGCCACCGAGAAAUCGACGUGAACGGAGCUAAUCAUCUGACAGUUUCUCACCGCUCUAGGUUUCAGUUCGUUUGGGUCAGAUCUGACGAUCGUGAUCGUAACCGGCUCCGAGUCUCCUCUCGCCUUCGCUAUGCAUUUCCAUACGAUCCCACUAAGAAUCUCGAACUCAAAUCCUUUCGCGGGAAAGUUUGUUUUUAUAUCGUUGACCGUUACUUUGAAGGAAUAUGUUGUCAUUUUGGUUUUAUUCGGAGCGACCCAGAGAUCUCCAACCGGGUCAACCUGUUUGAUGGAAUUAGGUUCUUUGCCAGUGGAAUUGGGUUUUGGGAAGCCUCUUCUCGAACCAGAGGUUUGGGGGCAGUAGAUCACUUCUCCAGCUAAGGCCCGAGUCCAUAGGCUGAAGAUAUGAGAAAGAGAGAAUGGGUCUCCCAUGAUAUGGGCCCAGCUCAAGCCUAAUGCUAAUCCACCGCAUUUAUAUCGAGUCAUCUACGGCAACAAAACCGGAUUAAACCAAAUGUUUUAAUGUCUACUUUUACUUUUCUUUUACAAAUGACAAUAUAUACGGUAGAAACCCUAAAAAUUAAUAAACACAUAAAUUAAUUAAUUUAUAUAGUUUAGAAUUAGGUUUAAAAUAUGACACAAAUCGAUAUGAUGAUAAAAUAAUAAAUUCUUAUAAAAUCCUAUGUAAAUAUAUAAUCUCAUAAAAAUUAUAAAUUAAUAAUUUAUAUGUAUACACAUAACCCUUAUAUUAUUUGUUUUAUAUUCAUAAUAAUUUAUCUUAAUAUUUUCUUAACACUUAAUAUAUUUUAAUACUAUUUAGUAAAAUUAUAUCUAAAAUCACAUUUAAACUGUAAGAAACAACUUUUAUAUACACCAAAGUAUAUAAUAGAACCAAUAUAGAUGCAAAAUUUCAAAAAAGUUAAUUGAUCUCUAUAUAUACUAAAAUAAAAUAUUUUUCUUAUUUUAGAAAAAAACAUAAUUUGUGAUAAAAAAAUCUAAAAAAGAAACAUUUGUAACUUAAUAACUCUAUAAAUUAAUGAAAUAUCUUGGGUUCGAUUCCCCUUGGCCAUUCAUAGACGCCUUAAGUGGCAAGAAAACCCAGAUUUCUAUGUACUUUUUGGUGAUUAGUCAUUGGGCCUAGAAAGCCUUUGAAAUCGCACCAGAGCUAUCAAAAAAAAUUAAUAAAAUAUCAUAAUUUCAGUGUUAUUAUGUAUAGAGUUUUACUGUACUCCUUCAUUAAAUGAGCAUGAUAUUUCAUGCAACUAUAUAGACCAUGUCAAGAAAAAACAUGUCAACUAUUUGAACAACGAAUUUUAACCCUAACACAUAUGUAAAUUAGCUUUGUUUUUGUUUAUCACGGAUUUUUUUCUGAACGUACUUAAAAGAUUCUGUUGGAUAACCAAGGUAGAUGUUGGCGAAAACCAGUACUAAUAGUCAAGGUUUGCAGAAAUUAGGAUACUUUUGCAAAGAAAAUAUCUAGAAUGACUAAAUGCUAGGCAAUAUGUUGAGAUCCAUAGUGGGUAGAUUCUAAUACUAAACCAUUAUGUUUCAAAAUGUUUAAUGUAAACUUAGAGAUGUCAAAAUAAAAUUAAAGUGAACUUAGUGAUUCUAAAAUCUCAAACAUUUUGAAACAUCCAAAAAAAUCUCUAUAGAUCAUCUUACAUUUUUAACCGGAUAUAGUAUUUAAUUCUCUAACACAACUCCUUGGUUUUUCUUUAACCAUGAAAUCAGACACAACUUAAAAUAACACAAUAUCAUAGUUUACUUAAUUUUACUAGGUAGCAAGAGACCCGUUUGAUCUGCGUAGUAAGUCUAGAAUCAGUCUUGAUGGCAAUGUUGCAAUGCCAAAUCUUAUUUCACGUUUUUCUUUUCAUUUUUUUUUUCUUUUUGUAUAAAUAUACAGUAUAACCUCUUUAAAUUAAUAUUCUAUAAAUUAAUAUACACUAAAAAUCUCUAUAAAAUAAUAUAAUUUUAUAAUCUCAAAUUGAGUUUUUGGUUCAAUUAGUAUAUCGAUAAAUUAAUAUUUUUAUAAAUUAAUAAAAAAAUUAUAGUUUUGGUCUAGUCCCAACAUUAUUAAUUUAUAGAGGUUUCACUGUAUAUAUAUUCUCUAGUUUCGUAUAAUUAUAUGUAAUGGACCAAAAGUCAUAUUGAUCGGUUGUUUAUUUUAGGGACACGUCACACGUGUAUAUAUUUUACGUAAAUUAGUACAUGUCAAAGGAGAGUACCUGAAUAUAGAUCAAAGGAGAGUAUGCCAACUCCGGUCCAACUGGUUGAUGAUACACCAAAGACUCAUCAACGGACCGGUCCGGUACACAUAGCCACUCAUCCACUGUGAGAUCGCACUGACUUUCAACAACACGCGUGCCACAGUCGUUACACUUUAUGAACGGACGUCCCGAGUCACGCCGCCUUAACCUGCCAGUGAUCCAUGAGAUUUGGUCGAAUACUGUGAAAAGGGUCUCUUUCACGUGCAUCACGGUUAAAUCACGUGUCAUCUCGGCUGAGUAAAUAUAAACCGCCUUUAUGUAGUGGAGUUUCAUGGCUAGGUCUAAACCGGUGGGUUGGUGAACUGUACCAGUUUCUGUCGGUCGGGCUGAACCCACUGUCGACAUCCAGAAGCCAUGAACUGGACCGCUUCCCUCUUCUUGAAGUCGAGGCAUGUGUAUAAGACAAGAGAAAACAGAUGUAAGAAAUAUUGGCAAAGAUGAUUAUGAGUGAUCGCUUGGUCAUGCCUAAAUAAUAUAUAGGAACAAUAAAUAUAUUUCUUUUUCAAAAAAAAAAACAAUAAAAUAUAUUUCUUUACAGAUAAUUCAUUUACUGUUAAUUUUAGCUCUGACUUAAUAUCGGUGUAUCACUAAAAAGUAUCUUAAUCGGUUUAGAAAACAUAUCUAUGUCAAAAAUGAUAUUUGGUUUUGAAACUUAUAAAUACGGGUUUAAGAAUUUAUAACUUAUUGUUUACAGCAUUAAAAAAAACUAUAAAGCUGUUUAUCUUGAUAGAGUUUCUCUAAUUCUUUUUAUCUUUUCCAGAUUAAUUCCUAGGUUAUUUACACCAUUUCUCAAAAAAUUUUACUGUUCUUUUAAAGGCAUCUCCAAUCCACUCUAUUUUCAUUCUAAAAUAGAGUUUAGAGUAAAAAUACUCCAAGAGUACUCUAUUUUUCACUCUAUAAUAGAGUGAAAAAUAGGUUUACUUCAAAUAUAGAGUAACUUAUUUUUUCUUGUUCAUCACUCUAUUUUCUACUCUAAAAUAGAGUAUCAUUGGAGCAAACUCAAUCUCUAUUAUAAAAAUAUUCUAUUUUAGAGUAAAAAAUAGAAUAAUCUAUUGGAGAUGGUCCAAGUGUCUAUCUCUUUCAUCCUUGUUAUAUAGAAUCACUAUAAUCUAAUCAUGUUGUUAUAUAUAACAGAGACAAUGUACGUUACGAGUGGGUGAAGGUGGCCCUAUUAUUAGCAAAUGCAUCCAUUCUAUUAAGGAUCGGCGGAACAUUUCUCCAUCGAUCUUUUUAUCUACUUGGCAAGUUUUGACAAUGAGGAUUAAGACGAUAUACAAAAUAUAAAUAUAAAUAUUGUUUGUGAAUUUACAUGAAAACGAACCUAUACGUCCAACAUUUGUAGCAUCACUGUCCGUGUUAACUGUGAAAUUGAAUUAGAUCCAUAGAAGAAACCUGGUCAAAAGUUUCCAACACUUUGGAGUGAGAGUAGAUGUUCUUCCCAGUAUAGUCUUAGACUCUUAGCCAACCAAUCUAAAAUAUUCUGACUCAUCCGUUAAUACAACCUACUUCUCAAAACUAUUUGAAAGAACCAUAUCAAUUGAUAUAGCAUUCUAUGUGUUCUGAAAAUGUAGAGUAAGACGUACGAUUUUUUCCUUUUAGUUCAUAUGUGGCAUCCAUGUAUAAAAUAAUAAUGACUGUUUAAAAGAGUGUAAAAGCACAAAUAAAUUUUAGUUUGACCCUUUCUAAAUAUAUCUUGCGUAAUCGAGGUUUAUCCGUUUAUGGCUAGUAUAGCAACAAUAUUGCAAACAUGGUAUCUCAACAACUAAUUAAAAAAAGAGUAAAAAAAAAGAGGUACGGUUAGUUAAUUGAAUGUUUUGAAUCUAUAUUUAAGAGUAUCUUCGUCCUCACUCUAUAAUUUACUCGAUAAAUAGAGUGAAAGAUGGAACAUGAACAAAAAAUAAAAGAUUUAGUCCAUUCCAUUUAUGGACUAAACUAUGAAGUGGAGAUGGAGAUGCCCUAAGUGUUUCUUCGGAUUCAAAACAACGAUUAUUUUCAUAUGGGAUUUGUAUUGAAGCCCAUAAAUGGAAUCUUGAACUUAUGCUUUUUAUAUGGACCAACUUAAUCUUAAUUUAUUAGAUUUUUUUAUUACAAUAUUUGUUCUUCAGGUAGAUUUUUAUUUUACAAGUUUUUUAUAGUUGUGGAAGAAAUUUUUUAUUACUGCUGAAAUUUAGUAAUUAUUUUUUUGAAGAAAAUAUCAAUUGAAAUAAAUGUAGAAAUUCUUUUACAAUUAAAAUGCUACUUCCAAUAGCAUUUUCAAUAAAUGUAUCUCAUAAAACAUUUGUAAACAUAUUAAAAUAAAAAUAUCAAUAUAUAUAGUAUUAUUUUGGAUAUUUAAAAUUUGAUAAAAACCAUCUCUUAGAUUUUUUUAUAUGUGUUUUUAUAUUUAAGAUAUAUACAAUUAAAUAUAAUUAUAUUUUGUGUUUAACAUAUACUGAGAAAACCAUAUGAAAUCUAUUAGAAGUGCUAUUGGCAAACAUGGCACCUUCAAAAGGGAAUAUCUUAAUAAUUACCGAAGUUUAUAUUAUCGAUACAGAAAAUAAAAGCUAAAGUUCAUAAAAGAAAGCAUAAAAAAUAAAGAUGAUAUUAUGAUAAUAACAUUCAAACCAAAAUAUGAUGAUUGAUGACGAAAAAGGAGGUCCUAUAUAUGGUCCUCUUCUUUUCUCUUUUUUGGUUUAUUGCGAUUCGGAAUAACACAGUAAAAUCAUGUGCCCAAAGUCAAAUCCGGUUUACUCUUUAGUUCGGGUUUAGCUCAAUUCGUAUCUACUCUACAUUCGUGGAUUUGGCAUGAAAUAUCAAAGAACAAAUAAAAUGAUAUAAGAUAAAAGUCAGAAAAGAUAAAAGGAGAAUAAAACUUAUAUUACAGUUGAUAAAGGAUCACAGAUUUCAUCUCUUGGUUAUAAAAGUUCAGCGGCUAAGAUCUUCUCUCUAAACGAUUUCCAGCAAGAUCAUUAACCCGUAUUUAUUACAUAAAAAUCCCACAUAUACUUCAAAUUGUACCCUCUCUUUUCUUUUCUUUUUGUUCUUCUAUUAUAACAUACAGCUGUAACAAUAUAAUUCCCCACUUUGAUCCCCUAAAAAAGGACCACCAUAAAAAACAUUAAUGAUUUUUGGCAUUUUUAAAAUAAAGAAAAAAUGGGAAAAGUACAGAAAACUGUCCCUGUAACUAUAUUUUUUUGAAAAAAAAAAGAAAAAUAAACAGGCAUGUGAUGAUGAUGAAGCAGAGAGAUUAUUAAGCGGAUUCGUCGGCGUGAGAGUUUUCCUUUUUCACCCUCGGCUGUAUCCCAUAAUAACUAACGUACCACUUGACGAACUUCCUCAACCCCGCCGCGAGAUCCGUCGUCGGUUUAUACCCGAAAUCUCUAUACGCUAAGCUCACAUUCGCAUGCGUGUACGGCACGUCACCGUUUCUAGGCAUUUUGAUCAGAUGCUUCUUCGCUUUCGUCCCCAACAACCCUUCCAAUAUCGAAACCAAUCUCCCCACCGGAACCGGAGAUGUGUUCCCGAGAUUGUAGACACGUAACUGAGCCGGUCCUCGCUUCUUUCCGCCGCUUCCCGUGCUCUUCUCCGCCGUAUCCAACGCACCGACACAUCCUUUAACGAUGUCGUCGAUGUAGGUGAAGUCACGCGCCACUUCUUGAUUGUCCUGAGUUCGGUAAAUGUCGAUAGACUUCCCGUGGAGUAUGUCUUUAGUGAAGAAGAAGUAAGCCAUGUCUGGUCUUCCCCAAGGACCGUAAACCGUAAAGAACCGGAGUCCGGUUAAGGAAAGACCGUAGAUGUGGUUGUAAGUGUGAGCUAUCUCCUCCCCUGCUUUCUUCGUCGCCGCGUAGAGAUCCGUCGUCGGUUUAUACCCGAAAUCUCUAUACGCUAAGCUCACAUUCGCAUGCGUGUACGGCACGUCACCGUUUCUAGGCAUUUUGAUCAGAUGAUUCUUCGCUUUCGUCCCCAACAACCCUUCCAAUAUCGAAACCAAUCUCCCCACCGGAACCGGAGAUGUGUUCCCGAGAUUGUAGACACGUAACUGAGCCGGUCCUCGCUUCUUUCCGCCGCUUCCCGUGCUCUUCUCCGCCGUAUCCAACGCACCGACACAUCCUUUAACGAUGUCGUCGAUGUAGGUGAAGUCACGCGCCACUUCUUGAUUGUCCUGAGUUCGGUAAAUGUCGAUAGACUUCCCGUGGAGUAUGUCUUUAGUGAAGAAGAAGUAAGCCAUGUCUGGUCUUCCCCAAGGACCGUAAACCGUAAAGAACCGGAGUCCGGUUAAGGAAAGACCGUAGAUGUGGUUGUAAGUGUGAGCUAUCUCCUCCCCUGCUUUCUUCGUCGCCGCGUAAAGACUCGCCGGCUGAUCCGUUCUGUGUUCUUCAGAGAAGGGAUUCUCGGUGUUGAGACCGUACACGGAGCUAGACGAAGCCCAGACGAUCGCAGGCUGAGGGUUAGCUGCUUUGGCUACUUCGAGGAGGUUAACGAGACCAGCGAUGUUUGAGCUGAUAUAAGACUGAGGGUUCUUCAUGGCGUAACGAACUCCGGCUUGAGCUGCUAAGUGGAGGACGUGAGUGAAAGGGACGAUGUCGAAGAGCUUGCGCAGGAGAGGUCCGUCGUUGAGAUCUCCUUCGACGAUGAACACUUGGUUCUUCUCUAGGAGGUGUUGUCUCGCUCUUUUGAGUGAUGGAUCGUAGUAGUCGUUGAAGUUGUCGAAUCCUAAGACUCCGUCGCCGCGUUUCCUAAGUGCGAUUGAGCAGUGAGAUCCGACGAAUCCGGCAGCUCCGGUUACGAGGACGGAGAGGCCGUGUUGUCGUUUUGCUGUUGAGGAUUGUCUUACUCGCUUCUCCCAAGCGGCUCCUUCGCCUAGAGACGAGGAGGAAGAGAAGAGUCCAGUGGAUAAGAAGCUGCGUCGGUGGAGAUGGUGGCUGUCGGAGUGUGGAUGGUAGUUGACUGCGAAGAGUAGGACAAGAACUAGAGCGAUGAGGAGUGUUGCUCGGAAAAGAACUUUAGAAGAAGCUUUGAGAACUUUUGUGCUGUGGAUCUUGCGGAGGUAGCUGUUGUACCUCUCCAGCUUCACCGUCUUGCUUGUAUCCCCCGGCGCCGACAGUGGCAUUUUUGUCUUUUUGAUGUGAACAAUUCGNNNNNNNNNNNNNNNNNNNNNNNNNNNNNNNNNNNNNNNNNNNNNNNNNNNNNNNNNNNNNNNNNNNNNNNNNNNNNNNNNNNNNNNNNNNNNNNNNNNNNNNNNNNNNNNNNNNNNNNNNNNNNNNNNNNNNNNNNNNNNNNNNNNNNNNNNNNNAAAAAUUGUAUAGUUAUUAAAAAUUAUAACUAAACAAUAUUUAUAAAAUUUGUAGAUAUCUAAAAGAAACUAAUGAAAUUACGAUUAACAAUUUAUUAAUUUUUUAAAAAAGAUGUAGAAAAUUUUGAAAAUAUUAGUAAUAAAAAUUGUAUAAUUACAAAAAUACAUUUAAAUAAUGUAUCUCGAAAUUUAUAAUGCAUAUUUCAAUAUAUUUAUUUUAGUGAUGAUUUAUGAAUUAUUACCGUAUUUUAAAAAGUUUAACAAAAAUAUAAAUCAAUAUUAAAUGUAAUGUAUUAGUUAUUGUCAAAUUGUACCCUCUCUUUUUUUUUGUUCUUCCAUUAUAACAUACAGCUGUAACAAUAUAAUUCCCCACUUUUAUCCCCUAAAAAAGGACCACCAUAAAAAAAUUUUUAAAAAAGGAAAAGUACAGAAAUCUGUCCCUGUAAAUAUAUUUUUUUAAAAAAAAAAGAAAAAUAAACAGGCAUGUGAUGAUGAUGAAGCAGAGAGAUUAUUAAGCGGAUUCGUCGGCGUGAGAGUUUUCCUUUUUCACCCUCGGCUGUAUCCCAUAAUAACUAACGUACCACUUGACGAACUUCCUCAACCCCGCCGCGAGAUCCGUCGUCGGUUUAUACCCGAAAUCUCUAUACGCUAAGCUCACAUUCGCAUGCGUGUACGGCACGUCACCGUUUCUAGGCAUUUUGAUCAGAUGCUUCUUCGCUUUCGUCCCCAACAACCCUUCCAAUAUCGAAACCAAUCUCCCCACCGGAACCGGAGAUGUGUUCCCGAGAUUGUAGACACGUAACUGAGCCGGUCCUCGCUUCUUUCCGCCGCUUCCCGUGCUCUUCUCCGCCGUAUCCAACGCACCGACACAUCCUUUAACGAUGUCGUCGAUGUAGGUGAAGUCACGCGCCACUUCUUGAUUGUCCUGAGUUCGGUAAAUGUCGAUAGACUUCCCGUGGAGUAUGUCUUUAGUGAAGAAGAAGUAAGCCAUGUCUGGUCUUCCCCAAGGACCGUAAACCGUAAAGAACCGGAGUCCGGUUAAGGAAAGACCGUAGAUGUGGUUGUAAGUGUGAGCUAUCUCCUCCCCUGCUUUCUUCGUCGCCGCGUAAAGACUCGCCGGCUGAUCCGUUCUGUGUUCUUCAGAGAAGGGAUUCUCGGUGUUGAGACCGUACACGGAGCUAGACGAAGCCCAGACGAUCGCAGGCUGAGGGUUAGCUGCUUUGGCUACUUCGAGGAGGUUAACGAGACCAGCGAUGUUUGAGCUGAUAUAAGACUGAGGGUUCUUCAUGGCGUAACGAACUCCGGCUUGAGCUGCUAAGUGGAGGACGUGAGUGAAAGGGACGAUGUCGAAGAGCUUGCGCAGGAGAGGUCCGUCGUUGAGAUCUCCUUCGACGAUGAACACUUGGUUCUUCUCUAGGAGGUGUUGUCUCGCUCUUUUGAGUGAUGGAUCGUAGUAGUCGUUGAAGUUGUCGAAUCCUAAGACUCCGUCGCCGCGUUUCCUAAGUGCGAUUGAGCAGUGAGAUCCGACGAAUCCGGCAGCUCCGGUUACGAGGACGGAGAGGCCGUGUUGUCGUUUUGCUGUUGAGGAUUGUCUUACUCGCUUCUCCCAAGCGGCUCCUUCGCCUAGAGACGAGGAGGAAGAGAAGAGUCCAGUGGAUAAGAAGCUGCGUCGGUGGAGAUGGUGGCUGUCGGAGUGUGGAUGGUAGUUGACUGCGAAGAGUAGGACAAGAACUAGAGCGAUGAGGAGUGUUGCUCGGAAAAGAACUUUAGAAGAAGCUUUGAGAACUUUUGUGCUGUGGAUCUUGCGGAGGUAGCUGUUGUACCUCUCCAGCUUCACCGUCUUGCUUGUAUCCGCCGUAGCCGACAGUGGCAUUUUCGUCUUUUGAUGGAAACUCUCAGAACUGAUUUAGAUUUGAUUGUUGAUUAUUCUUCUCUCUGGAUUGAAGAAGAGGCUUG
RNAcentral lists this long non-coding RNA (56564 nucleotides) under Brassica napus (rape). RNAcentral describes it as "long non-coding RNA (BNAP_LNC005795)". Lineage: Eukaryota; Viridiplantae; Streptophyta; Magnoliopsida; Brassicales; Brassicaceae. The record is from RNAcentral.